RNAcentral lists this long non-coding RNA (49585 nucleotides) under Glycine max (soybean). RNAcentral describes it as "long non-coding RNA (GMAX_LNC002462)". The record is from RNAcentral. Lineage: Eukaryota; Viridiplantae; Streptophyta; Magnoliopsida; Fabales; Fabaceae.
AGCCACCAUGCCUCUAUAGCUUGAAUAAGCCUGGGCUAAGCAAGUCAGUCUCGCUAAGCCUAAGGCAAUUUAGUUUUCCGAGUUUUUGUUCAUGUGCUAAGCGAGUUAGUCUCGCUAAGCGCAAUUUCUUCUCUGUUUUGGAAUUAGGCUUAGCAAGCCUGCUCGUUAAGCCAAUUAUGUUCCAGUGGUCAAGUUUGGCUAAGCGCUUGCUGGCGCUAAGCCUGUAUAGUGUGUCACUCUAAGUGAGUCAGUAUCGCUAAGCGCAAUUAGCUCUCUGUCAGAGAAUAAGGCUUGGUGAGCCAUGCUCGCUUAGCCAUUAUGUUGUUUCAGCUAAGCGAGUGUGUCUCGCUCAGCCAAAGUCUGUGUUUUUGUGUUGUCGUGCUAAGCGCGCCCUGUGCGCUAAGCGUGUGCUGUUAUUUUCAUAAGCGAGUCAGUCUCACUAAGUGCCCAGUCUGUUUUUCUGUUUUAUUUUUCUAUUUUCAGUUUGAGAUAAAACCUGUCUAACUUGAUUCCUGUGAUUCUUUUUUGAUGCAGAUGGCCUCCUGGAAAAGGAAAUGCACCGCCUCCCGGCCCUAGGAGCCUUAUGACACUACCAGAUUUAUUUCUGAGGCUACCUAGGAGAGGUAUUCCCAGAAUGUUCACUCUCGGAACAUCCUUCUGGAGAGGAACGUCACUCUUUAUGUCACAGAAUAUGAUGAGUUCCGCUAGGAGCUCGAGAGGCGAUGUUGGCAUAAAGCCUUGACCAGGCAAAUGGAUGGGCAUAUAAUUGAAGCCCUGGUCAAGGAGUUUUAUGUGAAUUUGUAUGAUCCUGAAGACAAAUCCCCCAGGCAAGUCAGAGUGCAGGGGAAGCUAAUCAAGUUUGAUGCCAUCUCUCUUAAUGCCUUCCUGGAGACGCCACCAGUUCUUCAGCCAGGGGAGCAGUACACUUCUUAUUCCAUUUUCUGUUGAUCAUGCCCAAAUCCUUAAGAGCUUGCUUCCAAGCUCUGCAUUCCAGGGCGCGGAUUUGUUUUGAAUGCUGAAGGGGCACCCUGAAAGCUCCUGAGGAAGGACUUGACUACUCUGGCACAGACUUGGAGUGUCCUGUCCUAUUCUAACAUCGCCCCCACCACUCACACGUUCGAUCUGAAUAUAGACCAAGCAAGGUUAGUUUAUGGAUUGGUUAUGCGAAUGGACAUGGACUUUGGCUUGCUCAUCCCAGGCCAGAUCUCACAGAUGGCCCAGUCUAACUCCUAUCGACUUGGCUUCCCAACCCUCAUCACUGCUUUAUGCAUCGCCUAGGGAGUCGUCUUAGAUUCACUAACAUUUGAGUCCCUGAGCCCCGCCAUUAACUUGGCAUACAUCUUGAAGAAUUUUUGGAACCCAGAUGAUCCUUCGAUCACCUUUCCGGGGACCCGUAAGGCUCGGGCUUGGGGACCAUCGAAUGCUUCUGCUCCUUCUUCUUCUUCUUCUUCUCCAGUUCCAGCCCCAUUUUCUUCUGCUCCAAAUUCUACUUAUGCACCUCCAGUACCUUCCGGCCCCUCCGCUCUAAGCUCAGACGCCAUGGUGACGAUGUUGUAGAGCCUUCACCAAGGCUUAUGCCUAGUGAUGCAGAACAUUCAUAACUUGGCUCAGCAUCGACCCAUCAUUAGCAUGGAGGAUUUCAUGGCUCGGGUGGUCUGGCCAGGAGUCCAACCUUCUCCUUUGGGGGGAGGUGAGGCUCCUACAACCCAGGAGCCGCAGCCAGAGGCACAGCCCACGUCGGAGGUCACAUAGGAGGCUACACCAGAGGUCUCACCUGCUGCCACACCACUUGUGGAGGUCUCUUAGGAGGAGGAUGGUGCUGCAGACACCGAUUAUGCAGCUAAUAUGGUAGCAACAUAGAACACUUGGGAUCCCUGGCCCACAGCAGCACAGAAGACAUCUCAGUCAGCUCAGGAUGCUCCUUCCUCACCUUGGGAUGAUCAGAUACCGGUGCAGGAUGAGUGAUGACAGGACUAUCAUUUAUUUUCCUACUUUAGAUACAGUUUUAUGUUUUUAGUUUCAGUUUAUUUAGUUAGCAAAUUUCAAAUCUUCUUGAACAGUUUACAUUCAUUUAUGCAGUGGUUGUUUUGGUUUGGAAUUUCAGUGUUUGUGAAUGAUUUGAAAUUGAUCAAUGGCAUGAAUUAAGUGAAUUGUGAUGAUUAGAUCACGUGCUUUGAAUGAGUAUGCAAUAAUUAGAAGAGAAAGAACAUGAAUUAGGGAUGUGAGUGAAAAUGUUAGUUGGUUUGACAGGUAAAUUGUGAAGGUAAUCAUUAGCCAUAAACUGGUGAGUUGUGUGAACCUUAAUUGUGAGAGAAUGACUAGCAUUGAGUACCGAUUUUUGCAUGAAUCUCUGAAUACUGAAUGAAUGCAUGAAUUUGGAAAUGAUGAAGGUCAUGAUUGAUUGAAAUAGCCACUUAGCUAAAUAGUUUACCUUGUUCAUGAAUGAAUUAUCCUUUGCACCCACGUUGAGUUUAAACUUGAUUGAUUAAAUUGAACCCUGAGCCUGUUGAAGUGUAAUCUCCAUCUACCUUUUCUUAGGUUGUAGGAGAGCAUCAUGGUUCAAAGCAAAUUUGUCCCAAAUUUGGGGGAGGAUGUUGGGUGACAAUAAUUGUGGUAAGACAAAUAACAGCCACACAAAAAUAUCAGAAAGUAGUAAGUAAAAACUGCUAAAAUAAAAAAAAAAAGAAAAAGAAAAAAAGAAAAGAGAAAUUUCAAGAAUAAAAGUAUGUGUGUGUUGUUACUUAAGCUAAGUGCCUUAAAUGUUGAUUGGCAAGUCAGUAGAAGCUGGGAAUAAAAAGAAAAAGAGUUGAUCUAAGGAUGAAUGCUCUCCUAGAACCUAAGUUUUGCAUCCUAGAAAAACCAUGAGUUGUUUGCAGCCUAGCCUCAUUACAAGCCAAGAAAGUCCUUCAGAUUCAAUUUAUGUGUUUGUGAUUGUAUGGCAUGAGAUGAAAUGCAAAAGUUGAGACUUGUGUUGGUUGUUGACUGAAGAAUUGCCUUAAACACUUGUGCUUAUGAGUGAAAUAGUGACAAUGAGGAUUUGGCUUGAUGAACCUUCCUUGAUACCUAUCUUGCUUGCUAGAUUAUUUCACUUGUGUUGCUUAAUAACCAUGUUCAGAUCUUUGAAAUUCUGCAUAUCUUUAUGAGAAGUUGUUGGUUGAAAGCAAUGUUUGCCACUUGUGUUCAUAUGAUUGAAUGCUUUGGAACAAACACAAUUUUUAAUAACCACUGUGAUUUUGUCACUUGAGGACAAGUGAACUGUUCUUUCCUUGCUUGAGGAUAAGCAAAAUUGUAAAUUUGGGGGAGUUUGUUAGUUGUCAUUUAUGACUAACUUUUGUAUUGAAAAGCUUCAUGAAAUUUAUAUCUUUUCCCUAAUUUAUGGUUCUUUUUGUAGGUUUGUACAUAUUUUUUUUUGUUUAGUUUAAUUUUACUUAGUAGAUAUUCCCAAUAUUGUGAUUUAAUGUGGUUCAACUUCAGUUUCAGGCCAAAGGAUGAAGAAGAAGAAGGUUGAAGCAGCUAGUGUCUCGCUAAGCGAGGCAUAUGCACUUAGUGAGUAACAUCCGCUAAGCGAGGCACUCAGCUCGCUUAGCGAGUGGGAAAAAUCUAGAAGAGAAUCUUCAGCUCGCUCAACGAGUCAUUUGUCUCUUCUCUCACUCAGCGUGCCCAGCUCGCUAAGCAAAAAUCCACUAACUCGCGCUUAGCAGGAAAAUGGCGCUAAACGAGCCUUCAGGAUCAAAAAGCCCUUAAAAGACUAAAGUUGGCGAAAAAAUAAGGGGAGUUCAGUGAGUUUUUAUGAAGAGAGACAUAACAGAGCAAGAGAGAAAAGCUUGAACGAAAGGCCUCAACUAAAUUAUGUCUAGACACAGAGUGCAGGGAUUUAGUUUAUAAUAUGUUGUAAUCUUAAUGCAAUUCAUUUAGGCUAAGUUUGACGAGGAAUCUAGAAUGAAGCUUAAAUAGAAUUAGACUCAUUCACUAGAGGAAUCUUGGUUUGAGUAGUCAUUUUCGGCAUAGAAACACAUAAACAACCUUAAAUAGAGAAAAACACUUAAUUACAUCAUUUUGUUCAGUAGAAGGACCCAACGUUUUCAUCAUCUGUUUAUCUCUCACAUUUAGAUAGUUAAUUUUGUAGUUAAAUUAAAACUGUAGACACAACUUCUCUUUAUAUUUACUGGCUUUAUACAACUGCUUACCUACUGAAUGAAUGCUCCCUGAAUGAAACAAGUUCCAUGUGGACUCGACACUCGGUCUUACCGUUUUAUAUAUUACUUGUGCGACUCGGUGCACUUGCCGAUUAACAUUUCUAACCUGUGAAACAAGUAUUUUAGCGAGAAGCGAACACUGCUCUUGUUGUUGCUGAAGUUAGUAUGCCAACUGCUUUGGUUGGUUCUGUUAUGGCACCAUCGUCCACCGUCGCUACACCUUUGUUGAGUGUCGGUGUAGAGACCAUCAGUGCUCUUGUGGUGUCUCCUCCUUCCUCUUCGGCUCCAAUGGUCAUCCCUCCACUGCGUUGGCGGCGACAUCACCUUCUUCGUCUUCUUGUCCCCGUGUCUCCUUGGAUCAUUUGUACACCUUUAGUGAUACUGAUUCACUAUGGGGUACAAGUUACAAGCUGGAGCAGAAGACCCCAAUUGGCUUUGUUUUAGCCUUUGAUAAGAACCUUAUUAGGUCAGCUGGGGUGCAGAAUGCUACGCAUUUUGCCAAAGUUUUUCUUUAGAGAAGUUUGGCGAUUCUGGAGGAGAACGGAUAGUGGCACCAAGAGGCUUUGCAUAAGGUGGCAUCCUUGGAGGCAGAGGUCGCCAAAUGAAGGGCUACUGCUCGCACAGUUUGGAGAGUGGACCACCCUAAGGUGACUAAUGCCACCAUAGCCUUUGUUAAGGUCGUAAGGUCAAAUCGCCAACUGCCUUCCAAAGUUGGUGGUGUGUUGGCCAAGUUGCUACGCACCAAGUUGGAUGGUGAUGAAUUGUUCAAAUGCUACAAGGACUUGUAAGUGGAUAAAAGCUACCUAGCUAGCAAGAUGGAGGGCAUUGUGGCAGAGAGGGACGAGCUUGUGAAGGUGAAUGUUGAUUUAAAGGCUCGACUUAAGGAGUCAAAGUCUCGGUUAAAGGAGUACGAGCUGUGGGCUGCCUAGGAAAGGGAGGCCAGCAAGAAGCUUAAGGAGGAGUUGCUCGUUUACAAGAAGGAAGCCAUGGAGCAACAUGAAAAAGGAUUCAACAAGGCCGUCAGGCAGGCCGAGUUCUUUGCCAAGGACCUUGACUUGGGUCUCUUUGACCUUUAAAGGAUGUGAAGGACGAUGUCUUGCUUGACGAGGAAGAAAUUGUUGUGGACAAGGAGGCUAUUGAUGAAGAGCAGAGUGCUGAGGAGCAAGGCGAUGAUACUUGUGUCUAGGUUGCCUUUGCCUUUACCUUUCUUCUUUUCUUCAUUGUUAGAAUUUGAGUCAUAUAGGCCUUGUAACUAUGACAAUUAUUUUUAUUUUUCCUUAAUGCGUAUGUCUUCAAUGCACAUGCUUUCCUUCGAUGGUGAAUUUUUUCCUAUGUGUAUGUUAUGUAUGUUGCCUUUGUCUAUGCAACACUCUAUUACUUGUGGUAGUAUGGAUAGGCCGUCGUGAUGGUAAGUAUAGAAUCUUUGAUGGCAAAAGUAUUUACGCUGAAUACUUGUUCCACUGGUCAGUGAUGCUAAUCAGCAAGUGCACUGAGUCGCACAAGUAAUAUAAAAUGGUAAGACCGAGUAUCGUAUCCACAGGGAACUUGUUUCAUUCAGAGAUCAUUCAUUCAAUAGGUAAACAUUUGUAUAAAGCCAGUAAAUAUAGAAAGAAGUUGUGUCAAAAGUUCUAAUUUAGCUACAAAACUUACUAUCUAAAUAUGAGAGAUAAACAGAUGAUUAAAACGUUCGGUCUUUCUACUGAACAAAAUGAUGUUAUUAAGUGUUUUUCUCUAUUUAAGGUUGUUUCUGUGUUCUAUGCCAAAAACGACUAGUCAAACCAAGAUCCCUCUAGUAAAUGAGUCUAAUUCUAUUUAAGCUUCGUUCUAGAUUCCUCGUCGAACUUAGCUUAAACGAAUUGCAUUAAUAUUAUGACAUAUUAUAAACUAAAUCCCUGCACUCUGUGUCUAGACAUACAGUUCUCUAGCCUGCUCUAUCCAGUUCUAAGGAUUUAAAAUACUUUCCAAUGCUAAAAAUCUUAACUUUACACACAAAUGGGUGAUCAAGCCACAAGCAUGCAAGAAUUAAAUACAGAUAGAAGCAAUGAACACAUAAAAACAACUUUAAAUAGAUAGUGAAGAUUUUUACAUCAAAGCUCAGCAGAAAUCCCCAACAAGAGAUUUAGCAUUCCAUUACAAGUUAGCACCUUUCAGCACCAAGAUGAGGUUUUUGAAGGAAAAUUAAGAUUACAAAGUGGUGGGGAUGUCUCCUCCAUCUCUAAAAACCUAACAAUCACUCAUAAACCUAAAAUCCUCUUGAAAGCUGAGGCCUUUCGUUCAAGCUUUUCUCUCUUGCUCUGUUUUUCGGCUUUGUUACGUCUCUCUUCCAUAAGAACUCCCUAUUUUUUCUCCAACUUCAGUCUUUUAAAGGCUUUUUGAUCCUGAAGGCUCGCUUAGCGCCAUUUUCUCGCUAAGCGCGAGUUAGUGAAUUCUCACUUAGCGAGCUGGACGCACUGAGUGCGAGAAGAGACAGAUAACUCGUUGAGCGAGCUAAUGGUGCACUGGGCGCGUGCAUGAAUGGCAGAUUUUCUUCCAGAUUCUCCCCACUCGCUAAGCGAGCUAAGUGCCUCGCUUAGCAGAUGUUACUUGCUAAGCGCAUAUGCCUCGCUUAGCGAGACACCAACUGCUUCAACCUUCUUCUUCUUCAUCCUUUAGCCUGAAACUGAAGUAGAACCACAUUAAUUCACAAUAUUGGGAAUAUCUACUCAGUAAAAUUAAACUAAACAUAAAAAUAUGUACAAACCUACAAAAAGAACCAUAAAUUGGGGAAAAGAUAUAAAUUUUAUGAAACUUUUCAAUACAAAAGUUAGCCCUAAAUGACGACUAACAACAAGAAGCAAGACCUUGGCAAUGUAGAGGUAGGACUGUGGUGGUCUUGCAAAAAUUAGAUGACAAGAAAUCAUCUCAGGUUUGAUUUCAACCUGGUUAAAGGUCUUGUCACCCAUUUGGUAGGGCUUCCUUUUGCUUUGUGGAGCUUUUCCCCUGAUGUUUGUCAGAAGUAUGUUUGACUUGCUCCUGGUUGAAGGUUUUGCUAGCCAGUUUGGGGGUAGGUCGUGUAACCUGCGAAGCUUCUCCUUUAAUGGUUAUGAAGAGUAAGUAUGACUUCCACUUGAUUGAAGGUCUUUCAAAAUAGUCUAGUGGUAGUUCAUUUUGUUGAAUUUGGACCUUUGACGAUGGUCAUCGUAGUUGGUGCAAGUGAGCAGACCAAAGGGGUGCCUUGGGUUUUGUAGGAGUACUUACCAAGGGUGGACCUUGGGGUUUGGAGGAGUGUGUUCCAAGGGUAGACCUUGGGUUUUUGAUAUACUUGUAUUCCUGCACAGAUAAAAAUUAGUAAUAGAGAAGAUCAUUAAGGGUAAACCUUGCAUACCUUGAGUUCCUAUGGAGAUGGAACUUAGUAACAAAAAGGGCUCACCAAGCAUGAACCUUGGGUUUAUCGAGCCUUGGACCGGGGAUGUAUUUGCCCUAGGUUUUAUCAAGCUUGUGGAGCUGCGUCGAGGCUUACCAAGGAUGAGCCUUGGAUUUUGUGAAACUAUAAGAAUUACCAAGCAUGGAGCUUGGAUUUAACGAGUCUUAUGUGCAGCAAAAGUGUUGUGCACUUGCAUACAUGGCACUAGCCGUGGAUGGCAUGUACUAGAGAUGUAAUGGUGUGCUCUUGCAUACGUGCCUCUUACAAAGUGACAUGUAUUAGAGACAUGGUGGUGUAAAUUAGUAGGACCCACCAAGGGUGGACCUUGGGUUUUACGAUCCUUUUGGAGGAUUAACCAGGGGAUUGUCUGACUUGGGUUUUGGGCAUCAUGCUUUUGCAUGCAUGCCACUUGCCAUGGGUGGCAUAUACUAGAGUCAUAGUAUUGUGCUCGUGCGUACAUGUCGCUUGUCGUGGGUGACAUGUACUGGAGACGUAAUAGUGUGCUUGUACGUACAUGUCACUCACCGUGGGUGACAAGUACUCGAGACUUAGUAGUGUGCUCAUGUGUAUAUGUCACUCGCCGUGGGUGACACGUAUUGGAGACAUAGUAGUGUGUUCAUGCGUACAUGUCACUCGCCGUUGGAGGCAUGUACUAGAGAAAUAAUAGUGUGCUCGUGCGUACAUGUCACUCGUCGUGGGUGGCAUGUACUGGAGAUGUAGUAAUGUGUUUGUGCGUACAUGUCACUCGCCACGGGUGGCAUGUACUGGAGAUUUAAUGCUAGAGGGAGGGCUCACUAAGGGCAAUUCUUGGGUUUUAAGAUCCUUGGAGCUACGACUAUGGAUGCUCGUCUUGAUAAGGGAAAUGUGAGAAGGGGUGUAAAAUUUUUAUUCAAUGUAUUUGAUUAAGUACAAAUUACAUUAAUUAUCCUAGAUGUGCCUCGUUAAAACCUCUCAAGCCAAAACCCUGAUUUUUCUAUUUUUGGGACAAAAGACCUGAGUAGGAAAAAAGUACAACAUUGGGUUUGCAUUUAGGUCAACUGAAGUAAAACUUUAGGUGGGUGAAGUUCCACGUUCUUGGAAUUGCUUUGCCAUCUAGGUCUUGUAGUCUAUAUGCUCCGUUGCCAAGGUUGGUUGUGACCCUGAAUGCUCGUUCCCAGCUGGGGCCAAGCUUUCCCGCUUGGGAAUCUUUUCUGGCUUCACCUUGGACUCAUCAUACAAUGUCACCAGGUUGAAAGGCUCGUGGUUGAACCUUUGCAUUGUAUCUCCUUGCUGCUCGGAGCUUGGCAGCUUCUUCCCUGAUCCUCGCCAUAUCUUGGACUUCGUCUGUGGUUUCGAGUUCUACCUUCAUAUUUUCUUCAUUUUGCUGUUGAUGGAACAACAAUCUCCUUAUUGACAGUUCCCUGACUUCAACAAGGAUCAUGGCGUUUGUGCCAUAUGUGAGUCGGUAAAGAUUUUCAUUGGUUGCUAUCUGGGGUGAACAGUGGUACGCCCAGAGUAUGCUGGAGAGCUCCUUUUUCCAUAGACCCUUAGACUUGUUGAGUCUAGUACGUAGCACCCUAAGAAUGACUCUAUCAAUUGCCUCUACCUGACUAUUGGUCUGAGGAUGUUCGACAAAGGUGACUAGGUGCUUUAUGCCUAGCCUUGUCAAGAAGUCUUUGUAAGUCUGAGCUUUGAAUUGAGUGUUGUUGUCUGUGAUAGUGGCAUAUGAGAGGUCGUACCUACAGAUAAGGUGUUUCCAGGUGAAUUUCUCCACCUCGUUGGCCGUAAUUUCCCACAGUGGUUUUGCUUUUAUCCAAUUGGUGAAGUAGUCGAUAACAACUAGCAAGUAUUUGACUACUCCUGGGGCCUUUGGCAGUGAUCCCAAUAUGUUCAUUCCCCAGGUGGCGAAGGGCCAAGGGGAGCUUAGAUUGUGGAGAUUGUUAGGAGGGGUGCAUGGCAGAUCUAUACCUCCUAGUAAAGUUGAUGGUGUCUGCCCUGAGUGUUGGCCAAUAGUAGUCGGCUCGCACCACUUUGGUCGCAAGGGAGCAUCCUCCGUUGUGGAGACCACAUAUCCUUUCAUGAAGUUCUCUCAUGACGUAGUUUUCCUGUUAGGUGUUUAGGCAUUUGAGUAGGGGUGUUGUCAACCCUUUUAUGAAUAGCUUGCCAUCAAGGAUAACGUUGUAGUUGGCCUUUCAUUUGAGGCGUCAGGCUUCGUCCUCAUUUGGUGGUAGUUCCCCUCGAAUUAGGAAGUUCUUGUAGGGGGUCAUCCAUUCUGGUUCCUCUUCUUCUCUAGCCAUAACUUCCUCAACAUCUAUGGUGGGAGUUUAGAGGGUUUCCCAGAUGAUAGUCUUGAGGUGCCCGACCUUUUUGGUGCUGGCCAGCUUGGAGGGUCUCCCUGGGUAUGUAGUACAUUUUGAAACAUUCAAAAUUUUCAAUGAAAGUCUUCAUGAUGUGAUAGUACUUGAGCAACAUUGUUUCCUUAGUUUGGUAUCUCUUAGCAACUUGUCCUUGGACAAGCUGCAAGUUUGUGUAGCAUCGUAACCUCUUGGCUCCGACUUCUCUUGAUGGCUUCAAACUUGCAAUGAGCACCUCAUACUCUACCUAGUUGUUUGAGGCUUUGAAAUUGAGCUUGAGGGCUUGCUCUAGAGUGACAUUGUUAGGGCGUUCGAGGAUGAUUCCUGCCCCGUUUCCUUUUACGUUGGACACACCAUCAAUGUAAAGGUUCCACUAGUCUGGGAUGGUUGUGUCGUUUCCAGUGAAUUCUGUUAGAAAGUCAGUCAUGAAUUAUGUCUUUAUGAGGCUGCGAGGUUUGUAGUCGAUGUAAAACUCUGAAAGUUUGACGAAUCAGGCCACCAUCCUUCAUGAGAGUUCAAGCUUUAGCAAAACUUGCUUAAUGGGGUAGUUCGUUUUGACGACCACUUGAUGACUCUAGAAGUAGGGCCUGAGUCGUCGGGCCAAGGUAAUGAGUGCUAGCGCUACCUUUUCUAUCAUUUGGUAGCUCUUUUUAGCGUCAUGAAGUGUGCAACUGGUGAAAUAAAAAGGGAGUUGGUGUUUCCCUUCCUCUUGUACGAGCAUUGAGCUAAUGGCUUUGUCAGCUACUGAGAGAUACAAAAGUAGGGGUACUUUUGGCCUGGGUCAACUCUAAACUAGUGGUGUGGCUAUGCUCUUCUUGAAAGCUAGGAAAGUUUGUUCGCAAGUCUCAUCCCAUAGGAAGGGCUCAGGAUUUUUGAGCAAUUUGUAAAAUGGCUUUGCCUUUUCAGCAAGCCUCGGGAGGAACCUAGACAUGGAUGCUAGCCUACCAUUCAAUUUCUGAACUUCAUAGAUGUUAGUUGGGCUGCACAUCUCUAGUAUGGUAAUGCAUUUUUUAGGGUUGGCUUCAAUUCCCCGGUGAGUGAUCAUGAAGCCAAGGAACUUUCCUCCGCCUACCUCGAUAGUAUAUUUUUUGGGGUUGAGGCGCAUGUCAUAUUUACAGAGUUCCCCAAAGACUUCUUCCAGGUCUGUCAUGUGUUGAGCUAUGCUUUGAGACUUGACGUCCAUGUCAUCCACAUAUAUCUCGAUGUUUCAUCCGAUCCACUAUUUAAAGACUCGGUCCAUCAGUCGUUGGCAUGUAAUGCCUGUGUUUUUUAGGGCGAAGGGCAUGACCCUGUAGCAAAAGUUGGCAUCUUCUGUGAUAAAUGUCAUUUUCUCUUCGUUUGGAGCAUGCAUCCUGAUCUAGUUGUAUCUUGAGUAAGUAUCCAAGAAGCUUAGAACCUAAAACACGGAGGCUCCAUCGACUAGCCUGUCGAUAUUGGGCAAAGGGUAUGCAUCUUUGGGGCACGCCCUGUUUAGAUCAGUGUAGUUGGUGUACAUUUGUCAUUUGUCGUUGGUCUUUUUGACCAUGACGACGUUGGCGAGCCAAGUGGAGCACCUAACUUCUCUAAUGAAGUUAGCGUUGGGGAGUUUGUCGACUUCUUCUUUGAUAGCUUUGCAUCGUUCUUCACCCAUCUUUCUUUUCUUUUGUGAUAUUGGUUUGGCUUGGGGAUAGAUGGAAAGUUUGUGGAAGAUGAUGUUGGGAUGGAUUCUCGGCAUCUCAGAUGGGUGCCAAGAAAACAAAUCAAAAUUUUUGUGUAACACAUCAGCGAUGCACCGGUGCUCAUGGCUGGUGAGGUCCCUACUCAGCUGCAUACACUACCCAGGUUUAGGUCCGAGCUGCAGCUUGAUGAGCUCUUUGAUGGGUUUUGGGCCUUUGUGUCACACGGAUCUAUGUCGAAUUUCUAGGCUUGCUUGGUAGACGGUCAGGGCUCGGAUUGGAGACCCUUUAUUCACGCUCAUGACUUGAGUGCCUUCAGCUAUUGUGGGGUGAGGAUAUGGUGCUACCUUCAAGCUUUUUGCAUAGCAUUGUUGUGCUUGCUUUUGUUCUGCCAUGACGGUUAUUAUCUCCCUGGUUAGGGUAUGGAAUUUCAUUUUCAAAUGGGGCAUGGAGAUUAUGGCUCUAAGCUCAUUAAGUGUCUUCUUGCCGAUUAAAGCAAAAUAUAAUGUAUCUGCAUCAACAAGUAGAUAUCUUAUGGUGAAUCUCCUAGAAAGCUUGCCUUGAUCGAAGGUGGUCAUUAAGUCAGUAUAGCCUCUGGUCUCUACUCUUUCCCCUGUAAAGCUGAGGAGUGGACCAGCGUGAGGGUGGACAGUGUCGGGGGAGACCUCGAGUGUCUGGAAAGUUUUUAAAUACAAGAUAUCAGUGGAACUGCCCUGGUCGAUGAGGACCUUAGACACCAUGAAGUUUGCAAUGAUGAUGGAGACAACCAUGGGAUCGUCCUGGUUGACGAGGUUGAUACCCUUGAAUUCCCUAUCUGUGAAGGUGGUAGGAAGGAGACUUCGUUGUGAUGGUGCAUCGACAAAAUUGAUGUCGAUGUUUCGAAUGGCGUGAAGAUGGCAUUUUCGGGAUUGUUCGCGGCCAGCAAGUGUACCGGAUCACACAAGUAGUAUAAAAUGGUAAGAACCAAGUAUCGAACUCUCGGGGAACUUGUGUUAUCUGGAAAGCUAUUUCGGUAAAUAGGUGUCUGGUAUGAAAAGAUGAUUGUGGUUAUGAACAGGUAUGUAAACUAUCUAUGCAAAAAGAAAGAAAAUCACGUAAGAGAAAUGUUGUAUAAAAACAAGUAGAGAACAGGUUGGUCUUCCUAAUAGGUUCCUGAUGCUAGAACGAAUGUUCUCUAUCUAACAAUGCCCAUGUAUUCCUAUGUUGUCUCCUGGAUUGUUAGACCCCGAUUCCUCAUGAUAGCCUAGCCUAAUCCAGAUCAAGCCUCGUCCGCAGAUUCUUCUUGUAAGACUAAACUCAACCAGGACCGCAUUAAGACACACAUACACAACUAAGUUCUUGUACCCCGAUUCCUCGUGACAGCACAACAACUUAGCCCCAUACUAUCAAGGACUUUAGAAUCAGACUAGUUUCCACUGUUGAAUGACCCUAACAAAGCAUGCAUCUACGUGAUCAAGGUAAAGGCAUACUAGAAUGAAAAGCAGAUAGCACAGAGAACACACAAAACAUCAUUACAGAGAUAGAAAUAUAUUUACAUCAGGUACCUACAGGGAAGAUCCAAUAGAGGAUUUAGCUUUCCAUGGUUCGGAAACCUCCUUUACAACACAGAGAAGAACAAGAUGAAAGAUAGCAAAAAUACAAGUGGUGAGGAUGUCUCCUUCACCUCUAGGAUCUCACAAUCACUCACAAACUUAUCUCAAGUUCUCAGAACGACUUCCGCUUCGAGCUCUCGUCUCUGCAGAUCUUCACACAGCAAAAUCUCUCAGAACUCUUUGGAACUUGGACCUUUCUCUCUCUAGAACUUCCUAAACAUGCAAAGCUUCAAGCCAAGGUUAGACUCUCGUGCAUGUAGAGGCUUUUUCAAGAAAAAUGCCAAACUCCCUCAAAAAAUCUGAUUUCAAGUUUAAAUAGGUGGGUUGGUCCCUACUCGCACGCUUAGCGUAAAUCUGAAUCGCUUAGCACGCAUAAGUGGAUUGUGGCUUACCACGCUUCUCUCACUUAGCGGAUGAGCUGAAGUGGUGCGCUUGAUGACCUGGAGUGGUGCCCUCAGCGAACCUGACAGAUCAUCUUCUUCUAGAUUCUUCCUCGUGCUUAGCCAUUGAGUGUCACGCUUAGCGAAUGCUCGCUAAGCCAGCAGAUUGGCUUAGCGAGAAGGUGAAAACAACAUUUUUACCAAUUUGCCUAAUUAACCUGAAAUUAAGAGAAAUUGAUUAUUAAACACACAAAACAAAAGUAUAAAUUAUCUAUUAUCUAUAUUUAACAUAAAGUACUUAUAAUAUUAUAAAACAACUAUAAAUUGGAGAAGUUUGAUACAAUAUACACAAGUUUUAUACACAAAAGUUAGUCGUUUUCACAGACUAACAGGGACUAGUUGGACUAUCCUCAAUAGGAAAAUCCGCCCGCAAUGGUGUUGAUUCACCCCUAAUUUGUUAGGCGGAUUCCUGUUCUUGUGGAGGUUGUCGUUCACACCGUUGUUGUUGGUGUCUCUGUCUUCCUCGGUCUUCCGCUCUAUCUCUUCUUCUAUUUGCAUUGUGAAUCCUUUAUUGCUCCUCUGGGUCUUGUUCCAACUUGGUAGUUGUCUGGCCUAUUGACAAACUGGGCUAGGUACCCAACUUGUAUAAGCUUUUCUAUCUUGUCCUUAAGGGGCCAACAAUCUUCUGUGUUAUGACCAAUACCGUGAUGAUACCUGCAGUAUUUGGUUACGUCUAACCCCGACCUAGGAGGUUUCGUUGGGGGUAGCCUGAUGGGAACCUUUAAGUUGAAAGCUUCCUCUAGAAUUGUAGUGUGAUUAACCGUUAGGGGUGUGUAACGCUCAUACCUGGACCCUUUUGGGAAAGGUUGAUGCUUGUCUGACUUGUGUAAGUCGGUCUUGGUACUUCUUUCUCACUUGUCGAGCUUCUGUAUGACUUGUUUGACUUCAUUCUUGAAUUUGGACAUUUUUCCAUCUGGAUGUAGCCUUUGGCUUACUCGCGCAACUCGUCCAUGCUAUCAUGGAUUUUUUUUUUGCACAGAUUGUCCGCAAAAUUGUUGGGGUGUAGGGCGAGGAGCAUGGAAUGCAACGCUACCUUAGGGUUAAGAUUUUGGAUUUGGACGAUUGUGCGCCCAAAUCUAUCCAUGAAUUUUCUGAGAGACUCGUCAUUUGCUUGUCACAGACUGGCUAAGGCAGUCGAGGUCAUACAGUGAGAUCUACCGGUUACAUACUGCACACUGAAGUGUUCAAUGAGGGUGUCGAAGCUGUCUAUAGACCUAGGUGGUAGUUCGUUGUACUAGGUCAAUGUCGCCCCCUUAAGGGACAUUAGGAAGACAUGACAUAGAAUCACAUGUCAUCAUUAGUGUAUAGGUUCGCCCGAGUCAGGAAGGCAUUUAGGUGCUCAUCUGGGUUUAUGGUCCCAUCAUACCACUCGAGGUUGAGUGGUUUCCACCCCAAGGGUAUGUCAGCCUCCAUGAUGCAGUCAACAAAGGGAUGUUGACGAGUAGUCCGCCCUACUGGACAAUGCAUGUGGGAGAGACUUAAGUCAUCUACAGUGUUGACUGUGCGUCGGGGGUGUGAUUCCCCUUGGAUGUGCUCAAGCAAUGUGUGAGCGAAGUGCUCAUUGCCUUGGGGACGUCUGAUACGAGCCUCCAGCUGAUCAUGGUCAGCCUUUAGCUUUCUCAGCUCCUCCUCAUAGCAUUGCUCCUUCUCCGUAAUUCGGUUUUGAAGUUGCUAUAGAGAAUUUGUGUCUGUCAUAACUGCCGAAUGAGGAUGAAAGUCUUCGAAAGGAGUCUUGCGUCUAAGGCUAGACCAAGUGCUAACCAUGGGUGAAAAAGGAGAGAGUUGAUGAGAGAUCGCGGGGUAUAUUUUACCAUGUCCCCACGGUGGGUGAUAAAUGUACUUACCAAAAUCCGAAGCUAGGACACAUCAGGCUAGACGUGGCCAAUGUAGGCUCUUGAACUUCACACGUCGACUUAGAGAGGCACCUUUGUUAAGAGGACAAGAGGGGGGACCUGCAAAACAAAGGACUCUGAUGCUCAAGUAAGUAUAUGAGUUAGGAGAUAAAGCAAGUGUAUGCUUAAAUGUAGGCUCGAGUGAGCAAUAGAGAGAGAUAAGCAUAGGCUUGUUGCUUGUGUGCUGGUGUGUGUGGCAUGUGUUGAGGGUUCAGUGGAACCUAGUAUUUAUAAGAGUGGAGCAUAUUUGUGGAUUCUUGUUGGUAGGGGCUGUUAUAGCCUUUGCAGAUAAUUCUUGACUUAUAGAUAAUAGCUGAUAGCUUGUAGAUAAUGUUAGAGAUAAGCUGUAGUUUAUAGAUAAAAGCUAGAAAAUAACUGUACUUUGUAGAUAAUGUGUGGCUUUGUAGAUAAUUAAAUACCUGCCAGUAGAUAAAGAUACUCAAUUAUAUUCAAAUAUUAAUAGGUUAGAGAUAACCUGUUAGUCAGGGAGCCUAACUGCUAAGGGCCGAGUGUUCAUGCUCCUGUUGCAGGGCUGACGUGGAGGGUUGACACGUGUCUUAGAGUGUCAUGUAAGGUGUCAAUUAUAUUUUGUGGACCCUGGACAGUAAAUGUGAUUUCAUAUUAUUAAUUGAUUCAAUUGUUGUUGUGGUGCGAUUUUAAGAAUUAUUAUUGGAUGCAUGAAAUUAGGGAGUUUGUUGGUAGUUUUUUUAAUGGUAUUCUUAUAAUUUUGUAAGUUGAUCAUCACCUUCUGGGAAAGGAUGAUGAUAUACAUUUUAUUAUGAGAUUAUAAUGUUAUAUACCUCCAUCUGGGAUGAGAAUAAUAUUUAUUUAUAGAUACUCCCAUCUAAGAUGGGGGAGAGAUUCUAGAUACCUUCAUCUAUGAUAGGGAAGACUAUGAGACACCAUUACAUGAAAUAUGAGCUCAUAAACUUUUUGAAGAAUCUGAAAUCUACACUGAUUUUGGAAACCAAAAAAUUGAGUCUUGUGAUUCUGGGAAUCACUAAAUUAUGUCUGUUAUAUUUAUUUGAAUACACUGAGGUAUUGUUGUUUAUUUAAAUAUUUUAUUUAUUCAGAAUGUCAUGAAUUGUAAGUGUUUUAAUCUUAUUUUUAUUAGAGUAUACACACACACACAAAAUCUUAUUUUAAAUUCAUUAUGGAUACCAUGACUGAUUUUCGGAUUACAACGCCAGUUGAGAACAACAUUAUUUACAAAACUCUAAGUUUGUUUUAUUCACUAGGAUUAUCAUCUCAUUAAAAGUGUUGUUUUCAAAGCACAAGGAAGAAGUUUUUGGAAUUGAGGAGGCUUGAAAACUUAGUUACCUUUAAAUACAUUUUUAGCUUUGUUAGUACUCAGAAUAAUAUGUCGAAUGUGACUGAUUACGUUAUACUUUUAGUGUCGGUUAUUUUUAGAUACCUAUAUUUGAGAGUAAUAUUUUUACUUAUGUAAAGACUUAUUUAUUUGACUUUAUUUAUUAUACAUGAGGUAUUUUCGGACUAAUAUAAUUUUGAGAUUUUAUAUUCUUUUUAGUAUGAGUUGUUAUUUUAAUAAAGGCGUUAUGGUGGUUGUAGUAAUAGUGGUGAUUGUGGUGAUGAUAAAUUAAAUCUUUAAAAUAUUUAAUUUUCUAUUUGAUAAAUCUUAUAGAGAUUUUAUAAUUAAACGAGAAUUUAAUUUGAAUUUAAAAUAUUUUAAUCUUGACCUUACAUUUUAAUAUAAUGGAUGAGAAUGAUCAUUCUCAUUCUCACAUAAGAAGAUCAUUCUCACCUAAAACGUCCUUCGAUCUUUCUUUAUGUAUAUGAAACGUCUUCCUUUUUCUUUCUAUAUAAAGGGGAUUAACAACCAACACCAUAAAUAUUUGUAAAAAAAAAAACCCAUUGAAUUCCUUUGUCAUUAACUUUAAUGUAAGGAUAUUAUAAUAAUUUAUGUUUUAAUUUUAAUGUUUACGAGAGAGAAAAAAUGAUUGAUAAUUUAAUGCUUAGAGAAAAUUGUCUAAAAAUUAAUGUGGACAAAGAUGAGAGAAGAAAGAUAAAUAAUUAUUUUAAAAUUGAAUCAUAAAUUAAUAUAAUAUCCUUAAAUUAACUUAUUAUACAAAGGAAUUUAUUGAUUUUUUUUACAAAUAUUUAUGGUAUUCCUUAUAAAUACUUAAGUAUAAAAGUUAUAAUUUUUAUUUUAUAUCGAAUAAUGUGGAUUAACUAUUGACUUAUUAAGUUGAUUCCUGUCCUAAUAUUACGAUCGAAUAGAUUAUCAAUUCGAAUUCGAAUCUAAUAACAGUGCUCAAUAGCAACUUCAUCUAAUAUCUACAUGACAUGCCGCAUCAUUAAAAUUGAAAAUUUGAUCGGAUAUUUGAUCAAAAACAGAUCCAUACAAGUGAUAUCUUUUGAAAGAGAUCCAUUUUGGUAAAUAUUUAGAGAGGUAAAGGUCGAAGUAAAGGUAGAAGUAAAGAGACCCAUGUAAAAACUGACCCAAAUUGGUCAAAUAGCCGUUGUAAGUUAUAACCACGUGGAGUGGAGCAGCGACUGGUAAAGGUAGAAGUAACCAUAGCGAACGUCGUUUUAUUUCUUAUUCCCCACGUUUCAAAAAAACCGUGAAAUUUUCUUAAUCUGUUGGCCUUCUUCCACGAUUCCUCUGACCUUUCUUCUUCACUUUUAAUUUCUGGUCUUCGGUGAUACCCAAUCUAUCUUCCGUUCAAAUCCCAAACCCCCUUCGCAUCCAAUGCCCUAGUUUCGCUCCAUUCUCUCCGGUUCCUCCCCACGAUGUCCAGCGACACCUCCUUCGCGGACCGCAAGCUCUGCGGUUUCCUCUGUACGGUUCUCACACUCACUCCCCGCGACGACUCAGACACCACCGACAUACCCUUCCCCGAGCCAUGCGAAAUCUUCGGCGAAGGGGGCGAGGUCGGCUUCCGGACCCCGAACGGCGUCGUUCUGGGCCCGGUGCUCGAUUCGUUGCAAUGCGGCGGUGGCGGCGGUGGCGGCUCCAACAAGAUCAAGAGAAGGAACAAGAUUGGAAUGGUGAACGGGAGCGUGAGCGUGGUUCACCAGCUCCACGCCAUGGUCACUCGCAAGUGCGCCAGAAUCGACGCUCGCGUGGUGUGCGUUGAAGCGCUUCCUAGGGUUGUGGUGCUGGUUGACGUGUAUGUCCCCGUUCAGGUAUGGAGUGGCUGGCAGUUUCCGAGAUCGGGACCCGUCGCUGGCGCCGUUUUUCGCCAUUUGAGGUUAGCUUCUUCUUUCUCGCCUUCGAAUUCUUUGUAUUUAUGUUUAGGGAUUUAGUUACUAAUAACAUUGCAAUGUGUAGAGAAAGAUCACAUGAACGAUUUUGGUGAAUUCUGCAUAAGUAAUAGUUUGCCAUACUGUAGUUGUUUGAGGUUUUAAUUUUUAAACUGUGGUUGAGUGGUAUUUAUUGGUGUAUGUUUUGAUUAAAGUUUGAAAUCAUAGUGUAGCGUGGUUUUACAGUUUGAGCAAAGUUUUUGAAAUUCUGCACUACUUAGUCCUUUGACAGUUAGUCAGUUACCAUGCUAAAUUUGGCAUUUUUUAAAAAAAAAAUAAAAUUAAGGAAAUAAAUAACUAGUUUAGCUAGAUGUCAUGGUUUUAAUUGAAGGACUACAAGUACAUACUACUAGAGAUGGUGUAACUGUUUCAUGUGAUGUUGUCUGCGAUUUGAAUCUUUGGUUAUCUUAUUGCUUGUUUGGUCACGUGUGUUGGUGUGUAUUUAUGUGUAAAUCGAGAAGCUGUGAAUUGUAGCUUUCAUGUUAUUCUACAAUUUGACAUGAGAUUUUACAUGUAUAACAUAAAUCUGAACAGACUAUAAAUACACUAUAAUUAUUUAGUGGUGUGGAUGAGAUGGAAGAUAGUUGUAACCUAUGUAACUGAUGUAAUGUUCUUGCAAGGGUAGUUGCCGGAUUCUUUUAGCUACUCUGCAUACUAGAGAGUAGAGACUAUUGCCUUGCAAACACGGUAACUUUGUGGUCACAUGUUUCAUUCCUGAUGGGUUAUAUGAAUAUCAUGACAAUUAUUGAUGCAUUGUGUUGAUUUGCAAAAACAUUGUUUUUUCUCUUUUGUACAAGAUGAGAGAAAACUCAACAUUUCUUUCUCUUUCCAUUUCUAUUUUUAAAGGGGGGGGGGGGGGGGGGGGGGGGGGGGUUAAAAUGCAUCUCAGAUCAUAAGAUCCUUCCUAAAAUGCAAAUACAUAACUCAUAAUAAAGAUUAAAAUUCAAUACAUAACACUCAACUCAAAAUAGGUUCAUAAGUCAUAACAUAACUCAUAGUAAGUUCAUAUUACUUAAUACAUGCACACUAAACUAGGAGAUCAUUCAAAUUAAAAUCAGGAAAGUCAUCUGUCAUCCUCCAGAUGAUCUUCGUCCUCUUUAAUGGCAUUUCCUCUACCUUCAUCAUCAUCAUCAACAAUUGGAGGAACCUCCAAAUCAUCUACUGGUGCACCACCACCUACUAGCUUCUUCUCCUGCUUCAACUAAGAUAGCUUCAUCUAAAGCAUCCAAUUCUAAAUUUGCUUCGUUCUCCACCACAACCCAUUCUUCAUCAGAAGCUUUGGGGGAAAGUUUCAAAAGAAUUUAUAUGAUACAUUGGUAAAAUAUGCAUUCUUAGCUAGUUUCGUAUUACACUACAAAUUGAUCAUUUUAUCAAACCUAAUACCAUCUCUAACAUGAUCAUACAAGAUCACUCACUGGUUUUAUUCUCGGAAUUCUGUAAACAAUAAAUUAAAUUGUCUGCCUUCAUUUUCCUGUGUGAAUAUACUUAACGGAUGUCUUUGGCUGUCUUAGUUAGCUAAUAGCUAAAUGUUUAUGCAGCUGUGAUUGGAAUGAGAGACGUUCAAUGCUUUCAUAUCCAGACUAUUGUAGGAAGACUUAUGGAGCAAAUGAGAGCAUUUGGAACCUUUCUGAUUGUCAUGUACUUGGUUGCAAGCUCCAUUCCGGUGUGAGCAAUUCUUCAAGGAAAAUACUAUUUCAACUUCAUGAAAUUUUUAAGGCACUACCUGGUGUAGGAAAGCGGCAGACAUUUAAUAGUUCCAAGAUAAUACCUAUGGAUAACAUUUGCAGAUCAGGCAUUUGGGAGUUAUCUGAUGAUAUUUUAACUAAGAUUUUAGCUUCCCUGGGCCCAAUGGACCUCACUAGGGUUUCUGCAACAUGUCAUCAUUUAAGAUCCUUGGCUGCUUCGGUAAUGCCUUAUACCAAGUUAAAUCUGUUUCCUCAUCAGAGGACAGCAGUUGAGUGGAUGUUGCAUCGUGAGCGAAAUGCUGAGCUUUUGCCACAUCCGUUAUUUGUAGCUCUCUCAACUGAAGAUGGCUUUAGUUUCCAUGUAAAUACUGUAACUGGUGAUAUUGUUACUGGGGAAGCUCCCACCGUCAAGGAUUUUCGUGGAGGAAUGUUUUGUGACGAGCCUGGCUUGGGUAAGACUGUAACAGCUCUCUCUCUUAUUAUGAAGACGCGAGGUACAUUGGCAGACCCGCCAGAUGGGGCACAAGUAGUCUGGUGUCAACAUAAUGGUAAUCAGAAAUGUGGAUAUUACGAGGUCAGUGUUAGUGGUAAUCACAUCACUGGUUGUACUACCUUGGGUAAGAGGGAUGUGUGCCAAGAUACCAGCAGAACUAAUGAUAACCAUGAUUACUCCUCCAAAAGAGCCAGAUUGAUAGAUCCUGAUCAGCAAAUAACUAAACUUCAUGAUUCAUGUUCCAGGGAAGAAAACAAAUCACCUGUUGAUGCAUGUUUCAAGGAAUCUAUGCAUUCAAAUCAGUUCACUGGGAGUUUGAGUCGCAUAAAGAAAAAUCUACAUUUCACAUUUGAAGAUGAAGCUAUGAUUUCCAAGGAAAGAGAAAUUGGUGAAGGAUUAAUUAAAGCAAAGCAUGCAUUAGAUGUUACAUCUCAUGUAUCUCAAAACAAGUCGCCUGGGAAGCCUAAAGGUGACUGUUUUGAGUACAAUGAUACAUGGAUUCAGUGUGAUGCUUGUCACAAGUGGCGAAAGCUUGUAGACAAUAGUAUGGCUAAUUCUAGUGCAGCAUGGUUUUGUAGUAUGAACACUGACCCUCUGUAUCAAAGUUGUAGUGUCCCUGAACAACAUUUUCAUAAUAUCUGUAAGAUAACACACUUGCCAGGGUUUCAUUUGAAAGGAACUUGUGGAGGUGAGAAACAAAAUGUUUCUUUUUUCACUAGCGUGCUUAAGGAGCACUACUCCUUGAUAAAUUCUCAGACAAAGAAGGCCCUGACGUGGUUGGCUAAAAUUUCAACAGACAAGCUUGCAGGAAUGGAAACAAAUGGCAUCAGGGGUCCUAUUUUAAACAUUUGUACUGCAUCUAAUAGACAUUUCCACAAAAUAUUUCAAGCAUUUGGCCUCUUAAAGAGAGUAGAGAAAGGUGUUUGCAAGUGGUACUACCCUCAACAUCUUAACAAUUUGACUUUUGAUGUGGCUGCCCUUGGCAUGGCUCUCCGUGAACCAUUAGAUUUUGUUAGGUUAUACUUGUCAAGAGCUACCCUGGUAGUUGUUCCAGCAAACUUGGUUGAUCAUUGGAAAACGCAAAUAGAAAAGCAUGUGAGGCCUGGUCAAUUGCGGGUUUAUGUUUGGACUGAUCAUCAAAAGCCAUCUGUGCAUUGUCUUGCAUGGGAUUAUGAUGUUGUCAUAACUACUUUUAGUCGUUUGAGUGCAGAGUGGGGCCCACGUAAGAGGAGUGCUUUGAUUCAAGUGCAUUGGUUUAGGAUAAUUUUAGAUGAAGGGCACACUCUUGGGUCAAGCCUGAACUUAACAAACAAGUUGCAAAUGGCUAUUUCAUUGAUAGCUUCAAAUCGAUGGAUACUAACAGGAACUCCAACGCCUAACACUCCUAACAGCCAACUUCCUCAUCUACAACCAUUGCUAAGGUUCCUUCAUGAAGAAUCUUAUGGACUGAAUCAAAAGUCAUGGGAAGCUGGUGUGCUUAGGCCAUUUGAAGCAGAGAUGGAGGAAGGGAGGUCUCGUCUGUUACAUUUACUUCAAAAAUGCAUGAUUAGUGCUAGAAAGAUAGAUUUACAAAGCAUUCCACCAUGCACGAAGAAAGUUGUUUAUCUAGAUUUUAAUGAGGAGCAUGCUAGGAGUUACAAUGAAUUGGUAAUCACUGUACGACGUAAUAUAUUGAUGGCUGAUUGGAAUGAUCCUUCACAUAUUGAGAGUCUACUGAAUCCAAAACAGUGGAAAUUUCGUAGUGCAACUUUAAAAAAUGUGAGGCUUUCAUGCUGUGUUGCUGGACAUAUUAAAGUUACACAUGCUGGAGAAGAUAUUCAAGAAACAAUGGAUAUGUUAGUACAAAGUGGUCUGGACCCUACUUCAGGAGAGUAUACCUCCGUAAGAUAUAAUCUCUUGUAUGGUGGUCACUGUGUCAGGUAGUACCUAGGUUUUAUUCUUUCUUGUGGCUUUAUUUUUCUUCUGGUUGUUGCUGUUUAUUAAUUUUUUUCUUAAUAAAUUGUGAAGGUGCAAGGAAUGGUGUCGCCUUCCACUCAUUACCCCAUGUCGGCAUCUGUUGUGCCUUGAUUGUGUUUCUAUAGACAAUACCAAGUGUACUUAUCCUGGCUGCAGUAAAUUGUAUGAGAUGCAGAGUAGAGAGGCCCGACCUGAAAAUCCUAAACCGAAGUGGCCUGUACCCAAAGAUCUUAUUGAGCUACAACCUUCAUAUAAGCAGGCAUGGUUAAUGGAGAACUCAGUUAACAUUCAUCUUUUUUUCCCUCUUUCUGGUUUGCAAUGCUAACAUGCAAUGUUGAUUAUUUAAUACCCAGGAUAAUUGGGAUCCUGAUUGGCAAUCUACAUCUAGUAGUAAAGUCUCCUAUCUCGUCCAGAGGUUGAAAGCUUUGCGAGGAACCAAUGAAGAGACAUACUUCAAUACAGAAAAUAGCAAUGAUGAUUUGCAUAUUGAGAAUAGUUUGCAUAGAAGUGAUGACAAAUCAUCAAUUCAGACAUGUUCUAUGAGCAGCACUAAGACCAAUUUGAACCCUGAGAAAGUUCUGAUAUUUUCUCAAUUUCUUGAGCAUAUACAUGCCAUUGAACAGCAGGUACAGUUUUAUGCCGCAUUUUGUGUGUGAUCUUUCAUGAAUUGUUCUAUUUUAUUUUUUGGCAUCUGUGAAUUCUUUUGCAAAUGAUCAAACUAUUAAAUUGGAUUUCUCUUUGGCAGUUGACUAUUGCUGGUAUCAAAUAUACUGGAAUGUAUAGCCCAAUGCAUUCCAGCAACAAGGUAUAAUGCUGGAAUUUUCUUUUACUGUUUCUUAAAAUUAAAAUUUACUUUUGGUUUCUGACCGUUGGUUAAUUUGCCUUUUCCUUUUCCAGAAGAAGUCAUUAGCCAUGUUCCAGCAUGAUUCAAAUUGUAUGGCACUUCUGAUGGAUGGAAGUGCUGCAUUGGGUCUUGACUUGAGUUUUGUUACGCAUGUAUUUCUAAUGGAGCCAAUUUGGGACCGAAGGUUAAUAUAUCAAACUAAUAUAAUUUGCAAACAAGAAUAUAAAAUUAAUUUUUUAUUGCUUUUAAGACUGAGGGAUAAAAUGAUUUUGAGAAAUUUUAAAAUUCUACAUUAUUUAAUUUUCUUCUCAAGUUGAGCAUAGUAAAAUUUUCUGUGAACUUUCUGUGUGGCUAAUAUGCAUUGUCAAUACUGAACUUUUCUGUUUUGGGAUUUAGCAUGCAAACUGGAACCAUGCUGCAUAAAGUGACUGGCAGUGUAUCUCUUGGUUUCCCAAUUUGCUGGAUCCUUCUACUUCAACCGAAAUUGGCAUGUUUAUCCAGUUUAAUUAUUUUCUAACUUGACCAAAAUGUUUUCAGUAUGGAGGAGCAAGUAAUUAGUCGUGCUCAUCGUAUGGGUGCUUCUCGUCCUAUUUAUGUGGAAACAUUAGCAAUGCGUGGUACAAUUGAAGAGCAAAUGCUAGACUUUUUACAGGUAAAUCUCUAUAAAUUGAACUAUCUUACACCUAUUUGAGUGUACUACUAACAAUGAUGGGUCUCUUUGAAGGCCUUGUUAGUUUAUGUUGUCGUUCAUGUAUGUCACUGAAAAUUGUCUCCUCAAUGUCUUUUGUUUUGUUUAGCUUUUAUAUUGUUGUUGUUGUUCAUCUUUCAAUUUGUUGAUGGUUUAAGCAGGAUGCUGAUAACUUUAGAAGAUCACCAAUUAAGGAUGCUACCGAAUCUGUUGAUGAUAGUGGGGGACGAGGAUAUAGAUCAUUGCAUGAUUUUGCUGAGAGUAGUUAUCUACUGAAACUUAGAUCUGUGUAUACUAAUUUGGAAAGUCCAAAAGGUUUGUACAUACAGUUUUUCCUUAACUGUUUUUUGUUAGCAAACAUAGAUUCAACAGAAAGAUGAGUGAUAUUGCAUUUGAGAAAUUGAAUGCGAGUAGUUUUUAUGACUUCUAUUCCUUAACUGUUUAUUUGAAAUUUUUGCCUGAAACAAAAAGUAAAAAGGUUAUGGUUAUGUUUUCGCCUAAACUGACUAAUAAGAUGCUUUAAAGUUUAUAAGCCACCAGCUAAAAGUUUAUAAGCUUGCAUAUUAAAUUAUAAGUGUUUUGUAAAAUUAUUGGAAUAGUUGGUAAAUGUAAAAUAACAUAAACAUAUUGUAUAACUGUUUUAUGUGAAUUCUAUUUUUGUUUUGUAGUCAAAAACAUUUAAUUAAAAGCUAAUUAAAUAGUUCUGUUAAAGUAAAUACUAAAAUAUUAUAUGAAAUAAAUAACCCAAAAAUUAAUAAAAAGAGAAAAGUAAUUAAAAAAUAGUUACAUAUGAACAAUGUUGAAGAACAGAUCGAGGGUAAAGGUAUAUUAAAAUAGUAAGGAUAUAAAGGAAGGAAAAAAUAAACUACAUGCUUAUAAAUUAUAAGCUACCUGAAGUAGCUAUAAGUUAGUGAAAUAUACUUGUUUACCAAAUACCUUAAUUUGGUCAAACAAAGCUUACAAUGUAGUCAACUAAGUUACAAGUUUGCUUAUUGGACAUGCCAAACACACUAGAUGUUUGGAAGUGAUAAAGCUGUUGAAAUCCUACUAUGAUUUUCUUUUCGAGUGAAAGAAUCAAGUGAUACUUGCAUUGCUCAAAAGUCACAAGUUAUUGUCAAUUCACUUGGUGAAUUUUGGUUAAAUGAAAUAUUGUACUCCCUUCGUCCCUAAAUAUUAGACUCUUUUAAAUGAUUCACACCCUUUAAGAAAGUUAGUUAAUAUAUUUAAUAGUAUUAAAAUUGUUAACAAUUUGUUUUAUUUUGCCAAAGUUACCCUUAAAAUUAUUGGGACUCAUAUCUUUCCUUUCACUUAAUUACUUCCCCACUUAAUUAAUUAAUGUGUGUUAAUCUUAUCUAAUCCUUAUAAGAGAAAUAAUGAUUUAUCUUUUUAGUACAUAACAUUUAUUGUAAAGUAAUUAAGAGUAUUUGGAUCAAAAUAUAAUUAAUGCAAAAGACAACUUGAAACAAACAUAAUUGAAAAAAGACUCUUAUAUUUAGGGACGAAGGAAGUAUGUCCGAGCACUUUAAGCCUGUUGAAACUGAUGGCAUGCUCUGACCCCUCUGAAUAGGACACCCUCUCCUCUCAACUUUCCCUUACCAAAUUGUAUGUUUUUUGAAAAUGAAUUUAGGAUAUGCACUUGCACUUGAAUGAAUUCUUUUACUUUUCUUUAUUAACUUGUUAAUUUAUUUAUUUUUUUAGAAUAUAAUUAGAAUGUAUUGAGUUACACUGUCUUCCAAUAUGAAUAGUCAUAUAGGUGAAAGUUGUUGACUUUUAAAAGUCUAUCUAGAAUGAUUUCUAAUUAGUUGAUAAUGUAAAAAUCUUUAUACUAUCACUAUCUUAAUUAAACUCUUGUGAUAAUGACUUUUUUAUCCGUUUUUACUUCAGGUGUUUGAUUGAUCAACAUCAAGCAAGUACUGACUAAUUUACUUGGAGCAAGUCCUGUGUACAUUUUGCAAGUUUGCAUGCUCUUGAAUAUGGUUUUACUUUUUGAGUAUAUAGUCUUACAAGUGCUCAUCUAAUGAAAGAUGCUUCCAUAUGCAUUGGAGAGUGGAAACUAUUCUUUUUGUGCAGAUUAUGGAGCUAUUUGCAGCGUCGCUUCUGUUUGCCAGUGAUUAAUGAAAUACCGGAAGUGUCCCUGCUUAUUCUUAUGUAAAGGAUUUAGUCUAGUUGAUUUGAUGUGAUCUAGUAGGCAAUUUGGAGUCAAGUAUUCGAAUUGAAAUAAAAUGUUGAGUUAUUGGAAAACAAGUGUUCUCCCACACCCUUUCUCUUAACAGUAGGUAAUAUUGAAAAAUCAUAAUAACCCUUGCCCCCUAAAAUUGGUGAUAUCAUGUAUGUUCUUAUGACUAUCGAUUUCAUUAUAUGCAGCUAAUAUUGUAAUUAUUAGCAAUGAUCCCAGUGCUUAUUAGUCAACAGAAAUUUCAAGAUAUAUUAGCAAUUUGAGGGAGAAAAGGUUUCUGUUCAAUUUAUUCUCAUGUUAGCCUGGGUUUUUAAUUGAUUAUUAUGCUUUGUAGGUUUGUUCAUUUAGUCAUUUGAUUUUGUUGGUCAUUCGGAACGACCACCUGGAUAGUGUAGAAGUUCAAUUAGUUAUACAAUAGGAUAUAAUAUAUAUGGAUGGAGAGAUAAUGAUAAAGAUAGAUGGAUGAAUGGAUAGAGGUAAAGACAGAUGGAUAAUCUUGGAUUAAAUUUAAUUUUGGUUACGUAUGAGUAGAAACUCCCAAAUUCUAUAAUUGUAUUCACUCACAAGUUCUACUCCCAAAUUCAAUAUUCACUCACAAGACACAAGUUGAUUAUUAUGGGACAACAUAAGGGGAUAGGAUUACCUCCUAGGGGAGGAAAGAAAUUAAAAGUUAAUUUUCAAAAUAGUAACCAACCUCCCCGUAUCAAUGUGUUUUUUCACGUUAAAAAGGAAAAAUAAAUAUCACCAAUCAUGCUAUAGGCCUCAAUUUAGCCCAAAAUAUGCAGACAAGUCUAAAAUCCAUAAUUAACUAAUAAAAAUGGUCCUAAUGUAUUCCAAGCUUGAAAUCAAGAAUCGACCAAUCAAAAUAUUCUUAAAUAAUUACAGGUUCAAUUUAGGACUUAAUGACAAUACAAAAUCCAUACUUAAGCUCAAAAUAUUUGAUUUAAUCUUUCAAUCAAGUCCAUAACGACUCAUGGAUAGCUAACACCAAAUUGGAUGAAUUUCGACAAUUAGGUUUUUCAUAACUUCUCUAACUCUCUUGACGCUUUUGUCAUUAGAUACAAACCACAAAUGGUUCAAUUGUAAUUUGUCUUUGGUAUAUUGAUAGGUUCAAUAUUAUUUUUUUCCGUUCUUUCACUCCAAAGAUUGAAGGAAAAAGAAACUUUAUGUUAAAAAAAUGUAACUUAAAAUUAUAUUUUCUUUUCAUCCUUUGGUCUCUUCUGCUUCUAAUAUUAUCCAGAAAUAAUGAAUUGAGUUCAUAUAAACAUUUUGGAUGCUGCCAUUGAAAUAGUGGUUCUUGCUAUAUUUCACAGGGCCUCACCCAUUUUAUAAAGUAUUUUUUUCCAUGUUUAAUGAUAGUUAAAAAAUAUUCGAUAGUAGUAGUAGUAGUAAAUUUGCUAUAAUUUUGACAAAAAAAUGAGUAUUUUAUUAAACUCACUACAAAUUUCAUAGAAAAAUUUAUUUUUUUCUGCACAAUUUCUUACAAAAUUUGUUUUGUAUUAUAAACUUACAUAUUUUUUCUCAAAAAAAUUACAAUAAAUUUUCCAUUUUUUAAAAUCAGUACCUUAUAAUUUAUUUUUUUAAAAAAAUACCUUUAAGAGUGCUACUAAAUUUCCUUAAAUUCACUAAGAAAUCAUAAAAAAAAUAGUUUUUUCUGCAAAGUUUUUUUUACGAAAUUUUUUUUGUAUAAAAAAAAUUCUUUUAGAUUUUCCAAAAAAAAAUUACAAAUAAAUUUUCCAUUUUUUAUAUAUUCGGUACCAAAUAAAUUGUAAGAAAAACCUUAGGAGUGCUAUGAAAAUAAAGUAAGGAAAAUAUAUUUUAAUAUUAUAAAAGUCAAUUAAUUAAAAAAAUAGUUAAUAUUUGAAUAGUAUCGCUAAAUGCUUAAAAUUAACUAUAACAAAUGAUAUUAUAUAAAUCAUUAUUUUAAUUUGUAGAUUAUAGAUUAUUUUAGCCGUUUCAAUUUGGUUUUUCUCUGCCACUUCCAAAUAUAAUUGAAUUUUCAAAAGUAUAAUUUACUUAUAUAUAUUUUUAUUUGAAUAAAUUUUGGAAGAAGAGAGCUAGGUUAAGAUUAAUGUCUGUCCUUACUUAAAUCCUUUCUAAAAAAGGAACAAUUUAUGAGUGAAAAUUAAUAAGCUUAAACAUUUUAGUCUCAAGAUUGUCUCUAAAUAAAAAUAAAGCAUUUCUAAUUUAAUUGAAUGCAUGUACAUAAGUGAAAGCUACCACACGUAGUUUUGGAUUACAAGGUGUUUAUAGUCCGACAGUUUCUAUGUGAUACAUAAUUGAGUUUUUCAAUUUACUAAAAAAAUUAAUAAUAUUCCCUUAUGUGUCAUAUUAACAUAGAUUGAAAUCAUAGUGGUCCCUAAUCAUAUGCAGAUAAGGCCUCUUGAUGCCAAGACCUUUAAGUAGCUGCCUAUCAUUUUGGAAGCAUGUGUAGUAGGAGGUAUUUCUUAGAAUUUGACAUCGAUGUUUUAAGAGAAUCAGAUGAGUCAUCAAACUGAUAAAGAUAAUGGAUUAAUAGGUCACUAAUCAGAUCAAAAUUUCAUUAAUCAAACUGGUUUAACUUGAUAUAUAUUAAAAAAAUUAUAAAAAAUAUAAUUAAUUAAUUUUAUUUAAUCAUUCAAUACUCUAAAUUUAAAAUGAUUGUCGUUAUAAAAUACCUAAUAUAUCAAAUAGUCAUCAAUAUUCAUGUCAAUGCAACUUUAUAAAUAAGUUUCAAAUACAAACAAACAUUCAAUGUGUUAAAAAUAAAAUUAAGUUUACAAAAAAUUUAUAUAUAUAUAUAUAUAUAUAUAUAUAUAUAUAUAAAAUAACACUUGAUUCAAUCAAAGACUCAAUGGAUUUAACCUGGACUACACCAAUUCUAAUAUAUUUACGAUCCCGACCGGUGUGUUUAUUGGAUUCCGAUUGAAUUCUGUCCAAUCCGAUUCUUAAAGCAAUGCGUGACAUGCGUCCAAGUUAACCUAUUUUGGUCGAUGGUGGAGGGGAGCGAAUCUUCCGCUCAAUAAUGCAUUUACUUGACCAAUAGUGUUAGUAAUGCAUGCUUGAUUUCUUUAUGCAAGAUUUUGAUUCUGGGCUUUGUGUAUAACAAUAAUUUCUAAUAGAACAUUUAAUCCCAUUAUAUUCUGAAAUUUACACAAAAGCUGAGUUCUAAGAUGGGUUCUGCAAUUCACAUACAUUGUUGCUGAAAUCCAGCAUCAGUACUUCAAAUUCCACUUGUCAUGCUUGAUUACGACGAACGAAUGCCGACACUACGCUGGCUUUGGACCAUAAAUUUAAGUAAAUAAUUAAAACCAGCGUUUUUAAGUUACACACUCAUCAUAUAAUGUGGUCUUUAACAUCUUGAUUGUGACACUACACAUGCUAUAAUUUGCAUGUAUAGUGAUGCAAUUUGACCGUAGAAGUAAUUUUAACGUUACUAUUAAAUCCUUUUUUCAACUUGCCAAGGCUUGUGGGGUUGUCGCAUUUAAUAUAAACAUGUCUUGAAGUUUCUCACAAGAUAAGGAGUGUCCCCUCUCAUUGAAAUUUAUAUCGAACUUUUGACUUUUCAAUAGAAAAGCAUGAAAUUUAUUGAAUUUGAAAUUUAAAAAAUGUUUUUUUUAACCGAGAGACAUUGAAAUAUUUUAUUUGUCACUCAACUAAUUUUCUUUUAUCAUAUGGUCCCAUUUUAAGAUAAAAUAAUAUCUUUAAUUAUAACUUAAUUCUCAAGUUAGAGAUCAAACAUUAUACCUUAAUUAGUUAAAAAUCCAACUGUGUGAAAUCACUUCUAUCAACAACGAAUUUUGGCCCAUCUUGUGCUAACAACUAAGUUGUUAUUAAUUACUAUACAGAUUGCGUCUAGGUUCUUCAUUUACAAUACCAUGGGACCUAGGAGUCUCAAUCCCUUUUGAAUAAUCCACACCAAACUUUGGCAUAUAAUACAAUGACAAAGCAAGUCAUUAAUGACCUAGAUUGAGACCUAGCACCUACACCGAGCCCUUACUAGUAUAAAAACCGAACACUAAGUGUGAGUUAUGCACACCAACACCAAAACAAACCCACUAAGAUGGCUUCCUUUGUAUCCUUCCUAGUGCUGCUUCUUGCAGCCCUUAUCCUCAUGCCUCAAGGGCUUGCUACUUACUACAAACCAAUUAAGAAGCCACCAGUGUACAAGCCUCCAGUGUACAAGCCACCAGUGUACAAACCACCGGUUUAUAAGCCAAAACCACCGGUUUACAAGCCGAAACCACCGGUUUACAAGCCACCAUAUAAGAAGCCACCAUACAAGAAACCACCUUAUGGAAAGUACCCUCCAGUAGAGGACAACACCCAUGCCUAAAGCAAGCAAUGAGGUCUAUUAUCUACUUAAUAAAUAAGAGGAACUGCUUUGUGUUUUCUAGCAUUGUGACUUACAACUUCGUAGCAAUGCAUAUUCUUGACUCUUGCAUGCACUUCAAUCCUUCGUAGCAUUAAUGAUGUGGCCAAGUCAUCAUGAGCAUCAUACUUAUUUCUUUGUGAAUGUAAAUCAAAAUUAUAAGAGAGAAAAUGGUGCUUUUGUACUACAGAUUACUAUAAAUAAAAAACUUUUAUGGUUUUCAGAUUGUGCUGGUUGAUUGAUUUGCUCUACCAUUAAUUAUGACGAAACGUAGUUUUUUUUUUUCUCUUUUUUAAUCCGUAAAAAUAAAAAAAAUAAAAAAAUAAAUUUAUAAUAAUUCACACUUUAUUUAAUUAAUCGAAAUAAAUUCCAUAAUAGAUGAUACAUAGUUUGACAUACUAUUGUUAAGCUUAAGAUUAAAGAUCGACCCUAUGUUGCAACUAAACUUUCUACAAUCAAUUUUAUAAAUUGGAUUGGUGCAUGUAAGUCUAGCUAGCUAGAGGCAGAAGAACAGUACUAGAGUAGUAGAUGGAAGCCACUCUCCACGCACCUCAAAUAACUCGCAAUUAAACUUGAGCAUAACAUCAAUAGCGACUUAAGUUAAUUUCAAUUAUGGGCUCUAUUUGAACAAAUUUCUCUAUAAAUAUUUCCAGAAGAAAAUAUUAAGAAAACAAUAAAUUGAACUUCUCAUUUAAGUUAAAAUAAACAUAUUUGUAUAUUUUUUAUAUAAAAACUCUCAUUUAACUUCUCUUAAAAAUAUUGAAGUAUAUAAAUUAAUUUUAGCUUAUGAAAAAAAAAAUCAACUUAUUUUAAUUUUCUAUUCUUAAAAAGCCAUAGUUAUAGUUAAUGUGUACAAAGACCAGUUCCUACGAGAGUUGCUGUAUCCUCCUAAACCAAAUAUCCGAAUACUCCUACUCAGUAAGAAUAUUUUGAUAUCUGUUAAUAAUUUUAUAAUAAAUUAUUUAUUUAAUUUGACAUUUUAAUAUUUAAUUUCUUUCCAAGUUUACCCCUUUUCCAUAUGACCAGUCAACUUAUCCUCUUCAUUCGACUUUAAAAAGAGUGGGUGGUGGUGCGGUGAAGCUGAAAACCACACACAAUGAUGGUGGUGGAGAAUGUGAAAAUGGUUGUGGUCGGAGAAGGAGGUACAAGGGACAAAGUUAACUGAGGAAAAAAAAAACUCAGCGUGAGAGAGGGUCUUUUGAAAAAAAGGACAAAUUUGGAAAGGAGAAAAAAAGUUAAAAAGUGUGUUAACAAGUGUGAAUGCUUAGGUGAUUCAGUUACUUUUUCGCCACAUAUGAUCGGAGGAAUAAACAUUUCUCUUUUUCAUAUUACUAUUUUUGUAUGUUUGUCUACACGUACAUGUGGACGGUUAUUUGUAUCAAGUAUCAACUACAUAUGGGUGUCAAAAUUUAAAACUGAACCGAAUUUAAUGAAUUGAUUCAACAACUCUAAUAUAUAUGUGAUGUGAUUUGAAUUUUAAUAAUUUGCGUACGAUUUUAAUUUAAUUUUGAACCUACUUCAGUACAAAAAUUUACGUAUAAUCUUACUACAAGUACUUAAGUCACCACAAUCAUCUACACUCACAUCUUGAAAAAGUGACAUUGAUAGCAAAUUCAUGAAGUACUCACAGCUAACGUCAUUUGAUGGUUGAAUGAACCCCUCAGCUACCCAUAGCUGAAUGAGUGUUCUCUUAUCAAACUCAAAACCUUUUGGAAACAAUGAACAAUAAGCAAAACAGUUUUCCAAAAAUGAAGGAAGAUGGUCAAAACUCAGUUUAAGGAUUGCAAAGAUUUUGUCCUUCUCUUGAUCUAUCUUUGAAAACCCAACUUCCUUAGAGGCUAUUACUAUGCGCACCCAGCAUAAUUACUGGUACAUCCAGCAUAACAGCAUAAUUCCCGUUUUGUCCUUUCCUAAAAUUGAUACAAAUUGUCAAUUCAUAUAAGAUUUACGGAUUGUCCAAUCUGUAAGUAGCCCAAAUAUUUUUUUAAUUUUUUUUUUAAAAAAAUAUGUUUUAUGAAUUAAUUUAAAAUUAAUGAUUCAUGCAAGAAUCAAACUUAUAACUUUCACGUUAUUAACACGACAUUCUAACCAAUCUCAAUAUUCUUGUCAACCCUUUUAAGUUAUUUUCUUUAUGUUAGUUUUUAACCGAUGUUGAAAGUGCCGAUGUUGAAUGUAUUAUCGUUAACAUCGGUUUUAAAAAAACUGAUGUUAACGUUAAUUUUACAACAUCGUUUAUUUAAAUAACCAAUGUUGAUAAUAAGAAUUACACCCAAAAAAAUGUAUUAAUGUUGAUAGUUAACAUCGGUUUUUUGGAAAAAUCGAUGUUAACGUAACUUAACAUCGGUUUUUUUAUAUAAAAUUGAUGUUAACGUAUGUGUUAAUGUUGACAGUUAACAUCGGUUUUUUGGAAAAACCAAUGUUAACGUAACUUAACAUCGGUUUUUUUACAGAAAACCGAUGUUAACGUAUGUGUUAAUGUUGACAGUUAACAUCGAUUUUCUGUAAAAAAAAAGAAAACCGAUUUUAACGUACGUUAACAUCAGUUUUUUCCAAAAACCCGAUGUUAACGUAUGUGUUAAUGUUGACAAUUAACAUCGGUUUUUCCAAAUAAUCGAUGUUGUUUUCAGGAUUUUUUUUUAAAUAUUCUCUCUGUUUUUACAAAAAAAACCAAAAUUUAACCUGUAAAUUUAAAAUUAGACCACACAGCAUAUAUGAUUUGCAUUUUGCUUUCAAAUAGGUUUUAGCAGAAAACUAGCUAGUAAACUAUUAAAAUGAAACAUCAAUUGUAAAAAAUGUAAUGCAAAGUACGGUAAACUAAUUAAGUAACCUAAAGUUACAUAGUUCCCUAACAUCCUAUGUUUGAUUUCUAACUUUUAGAUAAUAUUGUGCCCACUGCAUGUGAAGCGCCUUGAAUCUCUCUGCUUCCAAUGAUCUAACAUCAUUAAAAUACUGGAUGAUCAAAUAAAAGAUAAAUUAAUGAUGUAAUAACAAUGAUAAGAAAAUCAACUUUGUUUGAAAUAAACAAUUACCGUUUCUCAAUUAUUCCUGAAAGUUCCUGAGAUUAUCGUGGACAUCUAGUGCAUGACGUAAUAGCUGUACUCAGUGUUUCGUUUUUGUCUAUUACACUAAAUACAUAAUGAAAUUUGGAUAUUAAUUAAGCGUUAACUACAAUUAGUGUACACACACAUAAGCAGUAUAUAUAAUUAGAAGUUUAAUUUAAAUCACGUACCUUAACAACAAUCCACCUAGCCGCAGCCUUGGAUUUAGGUUGUGGAGUAUCAUCAAGUCCUUUCAAAGCACUAUUGAAUACGAGGAACAUUAAAAUAUUGAUGUUGUUGAGUUAUGCUAAUGCAAAUAUAUUGAAAACAACAUUGACCUGUUAAUUAUUCCCUUAAGGUAGUUGUCUGGCCUGUUAUGUAAAGAACAAAACCAGACAACUAGGUUUUCCUUAGGCAAAAUGACGACCAUUUGCCAGUGUCCGCUGCAGUGGAGACGAAUAUGGGCUAUUGUAAUAGUAUAGAUUAUUUAAAUUCAGUUGUUGUGUUUGACUUACCAAUUCAGGUAAGCUCCAAGGUAAACAUCGCGUUUUGAACCCUGCAUCCAACUCUUGAUGUAACUUUUCGAUUCAAAUUGUGAUUGCCCAAAUCUCUGAAUGGACUGUGGCUCGAGAAAUCCAUACACAUCGGAAUUCCCCGCUCACAUACUUGUCUCAGUCAGAUGCCUGUGUUGUUAAGACAAAGUUAAUUAUGUAUGAAUUUAAAACAAUUACUUUGUUAAUUAACAGUAAUCUAAAUUGACUUACAAAAUUCACAACUGUAUAACAGAGAUGCUGAGACAUUGACCACCGUGUGCUAUUUCAUACAGAUCUUCAUGCUUUAUGUACAAGGGAAAGUCUGAAUUAAACAGCCCGAACAGGGAAGCAUCCCACAUAACCUUGAGAGGCUUCAAAAACAAUUGUGGGAUGGUCAAUGUCAUCAGAUGCAGAGGAUCAUCGACCUCACGAUCCGGGCUUUUUGGAGGUUUUGCUAGAGACACAACUGCCUGUUAAUCAAACAUAGUUAAUUAACAAGUUUUGAUUACAGUGAACAAAUCAAUUGAAAAAAAGAAACAUAUAAUCAGAGUAAAAUACCUGUUCUGAUAAACGUUUCACGAGAUGUAUCGGCCAAGCAAGGAAGGUGUUAAGUGUCUGCCCCACUAAGGUAACCUUGUCAAUGGGUACAGGAACGGGAGUCUCUGCAUCUUUAACCUCCUCAACACCAACCUUCACUUGGCCAUGCAACAAAGGGAUGUUAUGAACCACUGUGGAUCCCUCAUAAAGUCUUCCUAGGGCAACCAAGUAGGAAGGAUUUUCUUCAAUUUACAGCCCGCAUUUGUCUGAGUCAUCCGUCUCUGGAUCGUUCCCUGAGGAAUCAACACAACUCUUCUUUGUGCUGACACGAGCACUUGAGGGACCAACCUUUGGCUCCGGAGGCAGUGUAAAUCCCUGUGAUUGCAUCUGAGACUGAAACUGGGACUGCAUUUGGCUGAAGGAUGCCAUCACCUGCUGAGUAACUUUUUCUGUGAUCGACUCCUCCAGCUAGUCCCUGAUUUGUUGGGUUAACUGUUGUAGGUCUUCAGGAGGCAUAGAGGAAGAACUACGGGACAUUCGUGUAGCCAAUCCGAAAUAUUGCUUUAUGGUCACAUCAGCUCCAGCAGCACGGACACGGCCAGGGUGCUCUGAUCGCCCAAUGACAACAGUCAGGACAUCCUGACGUCUAUGGGGGACGAACGAUCCCUGUGACGCCUGCUCCUCCAAAGAAUCCUGUACAUAACACAUAUAUCUGUCCAAGGCAUUCACAAAAUACACAAAGAUAAUUACAAUUCUUAAUUGAAAAUGACUUACAAUCUUCUCAGUUAUUUCCUUUGUUGCCUCAGACGUCAUCGGCCCAGUUUUCUUUGUGUAGACCAUUUUUCACUUCAUGUGGCGUCUGAUGGGAGAUGGAGGGUCAAUGACGCCCUCAGUGCUUUCGGAUUGGGCAGCUUCCUCCAGUCUUUUCUUUGUCUUCUCAGCCAUAAGCUUUUGUUCUAAAUAUUCAUAACCCCCACGAAACAACACGUGGGGGGCAGUGUUUUGCUUCUGGAUGACUUGUGUUUUUUUCCGCACAUCCUGCAAAAAUCGAACAUUAAUGAAAAUGAUUACUACAAUGAAUUAUAAGAAGUUAUUUUUUUUGUGGAAAACAACUAAAAUGACAAACUACAUACCUCCCACGAGGGGUCUCUGCGGGUCUGACAAAACUUGGCCCAUUUCUCCUUGCUAAUGUCGCAUUUUUCACAGACAGUGUCGUCCACACCGUCCUUGUCGGCUGCAAGUGCCCAUUUCCUGGUCAAGUCAGAUUUAAACUGCCUCCACGGCUUGUCGACAGUCUGAAGAAUUUUCUUCUUUGUCCUACUGUUAGAAGCUUCAGGGAUUUCAGAUGUUAAGAUCAAGUAGUUAACAUCGGUUUUGACAUCGGUUUUGAAAAAACCGAUGUUAACUAACUCGACUUAUUUACAAAAAUGUCAUCGUGCUUUUCUUAACAUUGGUUUUUUAAAAAAUCGAUGUUAAUCGUGCGAUGUUAAAUCUAUAUUUUGUAGUAGUGUUUAGGUAUCUCAUAAAUUAGUCAAUUUUAUUUUGAGUUCUUAAAUUUUUUUCUUUUUAUUUGAUCCUUGAUAUUUUAUUUUUGAGUUCAUGCCGUUAAAAAUUUUAAAAUGCAAUUUUUUACUACUAAAAAUAAUAACAAUGUAAAUUUAUUUAAAAUAUUAAAUUACCAUUUAUGGCAAUUCAAUUGGAAAAAAUGAAGUAGAUAUGAUCAAAUAAAACCUUACAGACAAGACGAAGUCUAAGGUGGUCAAGUGAGUUAGGUGAUUUCUGGUGGUCAAAUAAUUUUUUGCCAAUAGAUUUAUUAAUAAAAUAUUAAACCAUUCAGAUGAAAUCUUUUUGUCAGUUUUUAACAAUUAAAAUUAUUUCCUCCCUUGUCUGUCGUGCACCACCAUUGGCAACACGUCACUACCUUGCUUUACUUUCCACUCUUCUUCUUUCCCUCUAUUUCCCUUCGUACUUUGACACCUCCGUAACCUCACUGUCAUGUUGUUGAAUUCACAUCCUUGAUUUUAAUUAUGACAAACCAUUAGCAAAACAAAUUGAAAGGAUGAUGGGUUUAAGUGAUGGCUAACAUUUCUCCCAAGCGUUUUAGUGUUUAUUCCUUAAGAAGCAUAAGUGUUCUUUCAUUCUGAUGUACUUAGAAUGAUGCUUAGAAAGGUUCGAAGAAUUGUUGUGAGAGUUGAAAACUUAGAAGAAUCCUUAAAGCCCAUCAAAAUGAUGAAAUUUGCUUCCCUUUGAAUACUUAGUUCUUGGCAAGAUACUGAACAACCUUACAUAAAAGAUUCAUCAAAAGAUUCAUCAAAGGCUACCAGAAGAACAUCUUGGUUUAGAAUGAAGUUAUGCAGAGUCUACAUAGAAUGACAAACACCUUGACUCUGAGUUUCUAAACAUCAGAAUGAUUCAGAAAGACUCAUAAUGCAUCACUUAAACAAUAUUAGAAGAUUAAAGUUUCACAUUUCUUCACUUUGCAUAUGCCACCACAAUCACUGUAGGCACGUUAGAAAGUAAGAAUUGACUGCAUAAAAAGAUGUAAAAUUGUUGAAUGAUGAAGUUGUCCAUGAGAAGCAUUAAUGUAAACCAUCAGAUUGAAGGACUAAAGAAAACUACUCAGCCUGACCAUAGACAAAACACUAACACACCAACAACUCAAUUUCUACUAAGUCUUUCUAAAGUAAAUCAACUUAAGAAUGUUUCAAAGUUGUGAACAAGUGUUAAGAGUGAUGAAGUUGUACGACUUCGGAUUGAAAUUUCUAUCUAAACUUCGUCAAAGGAAUUCAUUAAGCAUGGACUCAUUCUUUACAAACAUCAUAAUGACUAUUGUGAUGGUUCUUCAGAAUCCGCAUAAAAAAAGUUCCUCAGAAUGGUAAUCUCCAAAUGGUUUUGUCUACUGUCACUUCAUGAUAGUUAUAAGGUGAACCUACUUGCUCCAGAAAUGUUUCAGUUGUGUGGAGCCCACUACAAUGAUUUUCUUGGGAGCUUUAUAAGGAAUUUUAGAAGGCUAUGAAGAACAAGUUGAAGCAUUCCAAAUUUGUAUCACAUUGUGCAAGUCCUUUGAGUAAGAAAUUUGUGUUUUAGCUUCAACCCUCUCUGUUAGAGUGACCCACUUUUGUAUUGUGCUUUCAAAGCUUGUAAUAACCUUAGAUAGAAAUGAGAGAUUAAGUUCUUGAGUGGAAUCCCUCAUGUGAGGUGAAAAUCUUUAGCAUGUGUCGUAAAACCAUAGAUAUUUUUUUUUUAUGUAAAGUCCAAUAGUGACUAGCAAAGGUGAAAUCCAGUGGUGCAGCUGGUCUAGUAGAAGAUUGAAGUCUAGUAAGGAAUUGACAAGGUUGUGAAACCCAAUGGUUGUUGGUCCAGUUGUGAAUUGGUUGUGUUACUGAAAUAACAUCUUUAAGGGUGAGGAUUGGACGUAGCCCAAGGUUGGGGUGAACCAGUAUAAAAACCUUUGUGCACUUUCUUCUCUUUCUCUAUAUUUUGUUCUUGCACAAAUCUAAAACUACUUUUGUAUAAAAUACUAAAUUUGUUAACUUUUUAUCUUAACAACUAAACUAAGUUUUGUUUUAUCAAGAGGUAUUAGUAAAGAACUAUCUUUAAAACAAAAGUCUUAAAACUGCAAAAGAACUAUUUUUUUGAAUGGUUUGCAUUUUCAUUCUGAGUUGCUUGAAUUUCCAUUCUAAGCUCAUAACAGUUUUUAUAUUCUGAACUACCAUAAAAAAAACCUUUUUGUUUUCAAAGGAAGAUUAAAAGUUUUCAAAACCCCAAUUAAACCCCCAUUUUUGGUAUUUUUCUCACUUCAAUUAGCAUCAAAGUUUAAAUGAGUUAUUCACGAGCCCUUAAUGUCAAGCUUUCAAAGCUUGAGUUUGACUCAUUUAAAUAAUCAAGCUUAAUCUCAAGCUUAAAUUUGUUUGUUUAAUUAAACAAAUGAACUUAAAUGAUUAAUUAACAAGUUGAACUUGAAUAGUUCACAAAUAGUUUGUCUUAUUCACAUCCCUAACUCUUCAUUUUUUUAUCCAUAGGAAUUGAAUAAGAUAUAAAAAAAUUUAGAACACUCAGACACCCUGCUUAAUCAACUAAGUUAGACACCUUUAGUCCCUAACUCUUCAUAUGGUUAUAAUCAUAUUCUAGUAACAAUAUGUUUCAUUUCACUACCUUACUAAAUUACAGGACUGACUUCAUUAUUUUGCAACACCCUUUACAUCACAUCAUUCAUUCAUAAAAUUUGCAUUAGUUAAAUAAAAUUAUUCAUCAUCAACAACUAUGUAAUGUAUACCACCAUGCAAUCAAAGGAUAAGCAAUUAAGAAAAUAUUUAAGCUUAUAUAAUCCAAGUAGCAUGAUUGCCUUAAUUGGUACAUAAUGCAAGGCAUAAAAACCAAAAAGUGGCAGUAUGUGUAAUAACAAAAUGAAACAAAGGAAGGAGAAAAAAUUAUUUGUGUGUUACAAAUAAAGAGGAGGAAGAAGGAAUAAUUUAAAAAUAACUCCAUAUAUUAUUUGUUCUAUUAUUUUAUCCAAUGAAUUGUGAAGAAAAUAGAUGCAUUAGUAACUAAUUAUCUAUAAAAUUAUAUGAAUUGGUCCAAUAUAUUAUUUAUUUAUUUUGUAAUUGAAGAAUUUUCUCAUGAUUAACUUAGAUGAAUAAUGAAUAAGUUAAUUAUUUUGUUGCUCCUAAUUUAACCUGGUGUGUCUAUAACUCAUGGUUCAGGUUGACCCAUUCUCUUAAUCUAACUUUGUUUGUUCAUUGAGUUGCUCUUUAAUAUGGGUGGGCUUAUUAUCAACAUGGCCAGUAAUAAUGGGAAUUGAAUCAUGCACUCUCAUAAGUGUAUCCUAGAUCCCACUAUUCCGUUUGAAAUUAUUUGAUUGCCUUUAAUCAAUUAGCACUAUCUUCCCCAACCCAUUCGCGAUGUCUCCCUCCUACGAAGGUUGCUCCCUUCCUCCUUCGUCUCAAACCUGCAUAUCCUCGUUCCCUUCCUUCUUCGUCAUUGAAGGCAAGCUUCUUCCUUUCUGGUGGGGUUGGGGUUGGGUUCUGGUAGGGAUGGGUUUUGGGGGUGGCUUCUGGUAGGGGUGGUUUCCGGUGUGGAUGGGGUCGCAUUUCAAAAUGCUCAUUCUGUAACCAAAAAAUGCUUUCGGAAUGAGCUUUCCAUAAGCAAAAAAAGCUUCAAUUUUUCAUAAGCCAAAAAAACAUUCAGAAUAGUUGUUCUGGAAGUACUUUAGCUUAAGCAACGACUAUUCCAUAAGCAAAUUUGUAAAUCCAAAACAUCCUGUCUAGAAGUGUAUUUUAUAUAUUUUGUAAGGGGGGUUCCAAAAAUUAGUAUUGGGCUUACAAAAAGCCCAUUAUGGAAGCAACAUCUGCAAUCCAAAGUAGCCUUUCCAAAAGUGUAUUUUGCAUCUUUCAAAAAGUACGAUUUUGGCUUAUGGAAUGACCAUUUCGAAAACAAAAUUGCAAUCCAUAAUAGUUUUUUGGGAGUACAUUUUGUACCUUCCAAAUGUUCAUUUGAGACAACAAUAUUUUUACUUACGAAAUAGGUGUUCCAUAAGAUUUUUCCUUCUGAAAUGGUCAUUCCAUAAGUGAAUUUAUCCCUUACGGAAAGCCUAUUUCGGAAACAAGUUUACAACAUGAACGUGAAUGCACGUUAAAAUGUACCUGCAAAGUGGAGAGUUAGAGAAGGAGAGGGACUUUUGCGGUGUUGAGUUGGACUUGCUUUGUACCUUCAAUGGUUGCGAGAAAAAGAGUUGGAGAAGAUAAGAAGAACUGGAAAAGGGGUUUAGACUUGCGCUAUAGGAAGAGAAGAACGAGAAUGGGCUGCAACUACGAGAGAAAGAAGGGAAACCGAGGAUGAGGAUAGAAAGGGUAGGUUGGGGUUUAUUAAAAAAUGGGAGAUGCAUGAUACAUUUAGGGAGGUGCAGAAUUCCAGUAAUGACCAACUCAAGUCCAAUUAAUGGUGACAUCAUAAGUUAAUGACUUAGUGUCACUUUUGAUCCAUUAUGUUUCGCAAUUAUUUUGUUUUAAUACAUUGAGUUUAAAAUGUUUCAUUCCAAUCCUUUAUGUUUUUGAAAUAUAUUGUUUUGACUCUUUUUCUAAUUUUCUAUUUGAAAUGUUAGUUUUUUGUUAAUAUUUAAAUUUCAAAAUAAUUAAUUUAUGACAGUGGUGAUUAAAAAUCGUCACAAUAUUUAAAUUAAUUAUCUUAUUAUAAAUAUAAUUAUUUAAACAUUAAUUGUAGCAAUUUUUAAUUCCAACAAAUUUCUUAUUAAAUUUUUAUAAAUGAUUCUUCAUCCUUGAAGAUUCAAUCUUCAUUCCACAAAUCAACAAAUGCAGUUUACAAAUAGCAAGAACAAUUUUUAUUUGCAAGAAACAUAGAGAUGUUCACUCAAUAAUGAUAUAAAACUUGUUCUUUUUUACACAACAAAACACAAUGAGCCCUUUUUUUUUUUAUCACAUAUGACGAAAGCAACAGCUCCAGGGUCAUUAAUUAGCUUUGCAAACGGGAUCUGAUAAUCACAACCGUGGUUGAUAAUCCUCCAAUGUAAUUUGUGUUUAUAAAUUUUAUUUUUUACUCCUUUAUAUACUAUUCAUUUUCUAAAAAAGAUUACUCAUGUAUGUAACUAAAGAUUAUAUUUUUUGUUUCUGUUUAAAAAAAUGUUUUCUUAUGUUAAUUUUUUUUCUUAAUCGAUGCUUUAAUGAUAUAAGUAAUUAACUAUUUGCUCCUGCAAUGUAGUUUAAGUGUUAUGCUACAUUGUUAGUUUUUAUAUAUGCAUGUGGGAAGGUUCACUUGGAACAAGUUGCAGUGCAAACUUGGAGUCUAAUAUACAUAUAACCAUUAAUGGAAGCCUUCAUUCCAAUAGACAAUAUAUAUAAGUUGUUUCGUGCUUAUAAAAUUGUAAUGUUUUUUGUAAAGGAUGUUUAAGUGUGUCAAAUAUGUUAUAGCAAGGCAAGGUACGUAGCAGUAAACUUUAAAUGAUGAGUCAAGCAUUUCCAGUAAAUCUACUCUAAUUGCAUGUUUACAUUGAAAUUUUAAAGUAUUAUUCAUUUUAUGUUAGUAGUCCUACAGCUGGCUACUAGCUAGCAUGAAUGUUUAUGUUGUUAUUUUGUGGAGAAAGUCAAAUAAUUGUUUUAGGUGAUUAAUUUCACGCAUUUAGAUAUGGAUGCUGAAAAUUCUUAAGUCAGACUUUGAAUUGUUUCAUGUUCAUAUUAAUAUUCAUAUAAAGAGAUAAACAAAUAUGUAACUUAGCUCUAUUUUUGUUUUGGUGAAUUAGCUCUAUUUAUUAUAGUCUAAUAAUAAUGGCUGCAUGUUGGACUAAAUAGCAGAAAUAUACUUUGCGGAGAUCAUUAAUUGUGAUCAAAAUUGUGGCAUUUUUUUAUUACCACUCAUAAAAUUAUCACCAUGAAAACCCUACUAAUUACGCAUUUAACGAUCCUCAAUUAUUUCAGUAAAAUAAAUUUUUGUCUACCUUAAUUUUUUUUUUCUGUAAAAUUCUCCUAUAGUUAAAUUUACAAUAGAAAUUUUCAAACGAUACUUUUUUUAAGUAAAUAAUUAAUUAAAUUUAUGCAAAAUAAUUAAAUUAGGUCAUAUCAAAUUUAAUAUGAAUUAGAUUAUUAUUUUAAUACUUAUUUACUUACAUAAAAAUAUUUAUUUUUUAAAAAAUAUAAUUAUUCACAUGAGAUUUAUAGCAAAUAAUUUUUUAACUUAAUAUUUUUAUAACUUAUUACAACUUUUUUAAACAUUAUACACCAUUGUUUUAUUUUUUGCAAUUUAUUUUUCUGUAGUUAAGGUACAACUUUGAUGAGGAAAAUGGACCAAUAUUAUAGAUAAAUCACAUUAGUCAAAAAAAUGUGAAUAAGAUGAUUUAUUAAAAAUCAUAUCACCAUUAAUUUAAUGUUUUAUAUAAAAGACAGGUUUGAUAAUGAGUUUAUAGUUUAGGAAAUUUAAAUUAAGUGAAGGGUAAAAUGUCAUGAAUAAGUUUGAAAAUUCAUAUCUUAUUUUUAGGUAUUGAGAGAAGGAUAAUGAAUUUUAAUGAUUUUAAUAUUGUUUAUUUGAAUUUGUGCAUUCGUUCAAUGAAUUUUAUUUUUCAAUAAAAAUAUCAAAUGUAGAAAAUAAAAUAAAAGAUUUUUUCUUUUUCACUAUUUUGAUUCUUAAUUUCAUAAAUAUUUUAAAUAAAUUUUAUAUUAAAAUUAAAAAUAUAAUAAAAAUAUUUGUUUUAAUCAAACGUGUUUUUAUUUUUUAUAUGAUUUUGAAAAGAAAUUAAAAGAGAGAAAAUACAAAAUUUUACUCACAAUAUAAAUUUUUUUCAUGAUAUAAAAAAAGAAAAUAGGAUUAAUAAAAUUUUGUAUGAUAAAAUAAUUAAUAGUAAAUUUAUUUAUUCUUUCUUUUACUUAUCAUUAUUUUAAAAAUAUAUAAAAUUUCAUCAAAAAUAAAUAUAUUGUAAUUCUUCCUCAAGUUAAAUGAUAUAUAAAGUUAUAUUUUCUUAACUCUAAUUUUUCUUUAUAUAUAUAUAUAUAUAUAUAUAUAUAUAUAUAUAUAUAUAUAUAUAUAUAUAUAUAUUUUGUUAAAUUUCCCUUUACUUCCAAAUAAAUAAUAAUUUUCAUUUUCCAAAACAAAAUUAGGUGAAGAGAUGAUUUGGAAAAAUAAGUAAAAUUUGAGAUAAUUAUUUUUAAUUAUAUAAAAAUUUCUAAACAAAAAUUGUAAAUGUUUAUCUGUCAUUAUUUUUCUGAAGUUUUAAAGUUAUUGUUUAAAAAAAAUUACACCUCCUACACAUAAUUUGUCCAGUGUGUCGCACAGAAACAUGUACUAGUGUAUGAAUAUAAGAAUAACACAUCCUUAUAUAAGUAAUUUGGUGUGAUCAUUUAUAUUUUCUUUUUCUUUUAUGUGAUUCUCAUCAUAUAAUAUAAACGGUAAUAUUAAUAUAUCGUUAGUUUGAGUAAAAUUAAGUUUAUUUUUUAAAAAUAAAAUCUAAGAUUCAAAUGUUAUAAAUAAAUAAAAAAUAUGAUUAAAAAAAAGCCAUCUAAUUUUUUUUGACAAAGGUUAAUGAUAAGUUUAAUCUGAGCAAUAACAUGACAGUAGAAGCAACCGACUGCAACUCGUCUACUUGAAUAUCUUCCUAAUAAUUGUUUCAACUUUCAAGCCUCGUGUGCUUUGACAUUUAUGCUCCAUAUCCUGAAAAUUUUGAUAAGAUAAGGGACCAAUCUAUACACAGUCCCAAGGAGAUUUGCAAGUAAGAAGAGAAAAAAAUAAAAUUCCAGACCCAUUGUUGGUGAAGGCGAAAUGUGUAGUGGGUUGUCAACGCAAUGCAAUGGUUCACAGUGUGCUGGUCUUAUUGAUGUUUUUUGGUUGCAGGUUCAAUGGUGGUUCUGAUGUAGAGAAGAAGAUGAAAGGGCCAAGGAGGAGAGAAUGGAACAGAGGAAGAAGAAGAGGGUAGAUGAGGAAAGAGAGAAAGAAAAAUCCAAAAAGAAAAUAAAAAUCCCAGCCAUUGAUUUUAAUUUUAAAAUAUCUAAUAAUUUCAAUUAGUUUCCCACUAUGCCAAUCUCGUAAAACUUUCGUCUGGCACCGUGCCUCGCUGUUGAAGGGUUCCCAUGCUAGCAUCUGCCAACACGAUCUGACAUUUCAACUAGGGGUGGGUAUAUCGGUCGGUUUAGUCCGUUUAAGAUCUGACAUGUGAAAUCAAUAUUUUAAGCUUAUUGGGUAAAUCUGGUUGUAAAAUAGAAAGAUUUUUUUUCUUUUUUUUAGAUUUAUAUUGGUUUCCUAAUCCGGUAAAUAAACGAAUUGGUCCGUGGGUUCAAUUAAUAAUUUAAAAAUAAAAAUAAAAAUAUAUUUUUAAUUAUUUGGUAGGUUCGCAAGCAAGAGAGGGGCAACACACGUCAACUGAAGAAGAGAAAGUAAUCUUGUGGAUCUCGUGACAGAAUGAGAGCUGGAGAAGGAGUGAGAGUUAAAAAGAAGAGACUGCCAAGUAUAAAGUCUCAACUCAAAUACUAAAUUUAUGUAAUUUUUAUUUUAAAAUUAAUUUUAUCUUAUUAGUAAAUCUGUGUAUAAAAUUCGUUAAAUUUGCAUACUUAACGAAUCAAACUCAAAUAUUAUUUAUAAUUAUAUGGAUUUAUAAAAAAAUAAAUUGAUAAUAUGCUCAAUCCACGAAAAUAACGGACCGUCCCCGCAAACCUGAAUAGUCAUCCCUAAUUUCAACGGAGUGGAAAGUGGGAAACCAUGAAACUUGCUACGUACUGUGAAAUUAAAAGGUCCGUACUAAUGUACGAAAUUAAUAAUCUUCUCCUCCCUUGUCGUCAUUUCUCACCUCAUCAUAUACAUAAUAAUACAUUAGUACUUUUUUAGGAGGACAGGCCAUAUAUAUUUUUAACACAUUUUUAAUAUUAUUUGUUGUUAAUUAGUUUUUUAAUAAAUUAUAAGUUAAGUUAAAAUUUAUUAAAUUUACAAAACUAUAAGAAAAAAACAUUAAAUAAGAUGUAGGAUCUACAAAAUUUAUAAUUUAUAAUAAAUUUUAACUAAUAAAUUUUAACUAACAAAUUUUCAGCAUUUUUCUAUUCUUUUAGACUACAAGUAUUGAUUAAGUUAAAACAACCAUGUGUUAAUGGUUCCUAUAGUAAUAUUAUUAGGAUAGAAUAUAAUUAUUUUUGGUACAAAAAUACAUGGGAUUUAGAUAAAAAAAAAUCCUGUUAAUUAAUGUUACAAGAUACAUUAUUUAAACAUUUAAAAAUUAACAUUACAUUUAGCAUUUCAAGUUUUCAACGGAGUAGAAAGUGGGAAACGAUGAAAUUUGCUACUCUUAAUUUAAAAGGUUCGUACUAUAAAUUAUAAUGAGAUUCGUCUUUACUUUCGCACCCUCUAUACAUUAUAGUAAUUUAAAGUGCAUGUGAUAUGGUAUGCGAAUAUUUCUACCUGUUGUUUAAAAUUUAUUUAGAAUAUAGUACGACACUGAAACAUUAUUAUCUCAUAAAAAAAAUUUAUAUAAUUAAAAAUAAAUUUAAUUUAAUACAUUGAUAAUAUAAUUUUUUUAUAUCAUCAAUUAAUUAAAAAUCAUUCUAAAUAUAAAUUUUAAAAUAACUAUUAUAAAAGUAAAAAAAAUUAAUAUACACAACAAUUCAUAAUUAGAUGACAUUGCGUUUUAAUUAAUUCAUUGAAAAUUAGUGCCUUUUAUAAUAAAUAAUCUAGAAGUGAUAUUUAAAGUGGUUUCUAAUUAGUUAUUAGUAUACAUUUUUACAGUAGCAUAGUUUUAAAAUUAAACUUCCAGUAUAUGUUUUUAUUUUCUAGAUAUACAUGCAGAUUAAAAAUAUAUUUUAAAACUAAAGGAGACUUUUUUGUUAUAUAAUAAUAAUAAUAAUAAUAAUAAUAAUAAUAAUAAUAAUAAUAUAAAGUGAGAGAUGGAAAUGUAUGAGGGGACGAUGUUCGAUUUAUUUUUAUGAUGGGAACAUAAUUUUUUAAAAUAAAAAAUAAUUAGAAAAUUUUAUUUAAAAUAUUUUUAUUAUUAAUAUAUCUCUUAUUAAAAUUAUAUAUAUAUAUAUAUAUAUAUAUAUGAGAUUGCUAGCAUACUCUAAUGUUAGAGUAUUUAAAUAACCUACAUCAAAUUAUUAGAAUAAAAAGCUUAACUAUUUAUUUUGUGAUAAUAAAUUUAUUUAAAAAAAUAUGAUAAUUUAAUAUUUAUAUUUUUAAAAUUCAUUUAUUUAUCUCUUCAACUCAUUCUCUCUCCUCUCUUUUUCUCUCACAUCAUUUAAUAUUUAUAUUUUCAAAAUUAAAAUUUAAAAUAUUUACCGAGAGAAUGAAUGAGGAAAAUAAAUAAAUGAGUUUUAAAAAUAUAAACAUUAAAUUAUCAUAUUAUUCUUAAAUAAAUUUAUUAUCACACAAUAAAUAGUUUAAUCUUUGAUCUAAAUAAUUUGGUGUAGGUUAAAUACUCUAACAUGAGAGAGUAAGUUAACAAAUCAUUUUAUGAAUGUACGUAUGGGAAGGAAGAAUGUAAUAGAAAACAAAAAAGAAAGAAAAAGAAGGAAAUUAAAAAUAAUAAAUGUAAUUAAUGAUUUAAGAAAAAAAUAAAAAUAUAGUAUACAAACGAGAAAAUAAUUACAGUCAGACUCAGAAACUGUCAUGAUAUUUAUUCAUCUCUAAGUAAAACAUAAUUUUAUUUUAUUUUAUUUUCCCCUCAGAAUUUUAAAAACUCAAGUGUCUCAUGUAUAGCCAAAAAAACCAUAGACGCAUGGUAGUUGGAGAGCCGAGAGCCUACAAUUAUUUCUGAGACAAAAGAUGGAAGAUAAAGUUUACAUAAUUGUUCUCUCUCCAAUUUCUAUUAUAAGAAAAAAAAUAAUUUCAUAUUAAUUAUAAAAUUAAUUAAUUUUAUUAAAUUAUGUUAAUUCCAAAUAAAAAUAAGUUUUUUAAAAAAAUUAUUUUUCAUUAAAACUUGAUAUCAAACAUAAAAAAAAAAUUAUCCUAUCAAAUGAAAGACAUUUAUUUAAAAAUAGUUUUAUUAAAUACGGUAAAGUUAAUUAACUUUUGUUUAUAUAAAAAAAAGCAAUUUUUUUGUUGCUUAUUAAAAAGACCAGUGGGAGUACUAAUUAAAACAAAACUAUGGCUGCUAUGUAACAUGGCACCAGAGAGUCUCAAUCCUUAGAGAAAUUAAAUACCAAACUUUGACAUUUCACAGAGUGAUGGUAGUAAUAAAUGACAAGGAAUGAGACCCAGCAUGGACCCAGUCCUUUGACCACUAUUAUUGUCCAGCUCAAUUGAAAUUUUUUUAUUAAGAGUUUAACUUAGUUGAAUAUGAUAAAUAAAUUAUUAUAAUUUUUUAAUAUUUAUUUUUAAUUUUUAUGAAUAAAAAACUAUUACAAUCUCAGUUCAUUUUCUUGGGACACGUAAUCAAGUUUAAUAACUAUUUCUCAUAGCUUAAAAAUUCAGUUAUGUCGAGUAUUUAUGUACAAAUUAGUUAGAACAAUAGGCGCGUAUAGUGGUCGCCCUCUAAGACAUAUAAUUGUGAAGAUCGAAGAGAAGCUUUAUACAAUUAUUAAUGAUAAAACUAUCAUUGUUAUAUAACAUGGGGCCAUAAAUGAGUGCAUGGAUUGAAUGAUGCAAAAUUGUUACAACUUAAUUAAUUAUCUUGAGUUUUAAUUUUAAAUAUAUAUUUGUGUUAAAUACUCCGGAAAGAGUUUUAUGUUCAUAAUUAUUAUAUUUAACUUGAACAAUAUUAACUCAACUGAUGAUGCAUAUAUAGUUUAUACAAAAAAUAUAUAUAUAACAUGGGACCUAGGCGAUGGCAAAACGGGUUGGAUCUAUUCGAUCAACCCAUUUUGGGCUUUUUUUUCGAAUUAGGUUGGAAUUUUCAAUCCUUCAACUGCUUUGCUAUGUUUUGAUCCGCUACAAAAUGGGUUGAGAGGAAAGUAGAACGGACCAACUCUCUAACCCGUUUUUUUUAUUAAGAAAUAAUUUUAGUAUUUAUUUUGAUAUUUUAUACUAAUAUUUAUUAAUUUUCAAUUAGCUUAUUUUUUGUCUAAAUAAAUUAUUAUUAAAAAUUUAAGGUAAUACAUUUAAUUUUUUAGUAAGUAUUUAUUAUUUAAUAUUUAUAAAAGAUAAAAUUAAUUAAAAUACAUUUAUAAUUUAUUUUUUUAGUUUUGACAUGACAAAAACGAAAUGAACUGAACACUUUGAAUCUAUAUAUAAAAUACGGGAUGAGAUGGGAUGGAUUGAUCCGUUUUUUAUGGAUUGAUCCCUUUUUGCUAGCCCUAAUGGGACCAAAGAGUCACUAUCCUUUAGAAAAAUUCACACCAAACUUUUGACAUUACAGGCAGGGACAAUGCGAGUAAUAAAUGGCAUAGAAUGAGACCCUAGUCCUCUGGCCACUAUAAAAAGGGAUGAUUGUGUGUGUUACAUGCAUCAGCCACCACCAUUGACUAGUAUCAUUAAGAUGGCUAAUUCCUACUUAUCCUUGCUUGUCUUGAUCCUUGUAGCUCUGCUCCUCACCCCUCAAGGGCUUGCUGAUGAAUCUGAUUCUUACUAUAAGCCACCAGUUUACAAGAAACCACCAGUGUACAAGCCCAAGCCCAAGCCACCCAUUCACAAGCCCAAGCCACCCGUUUACAAGCCCAAGCCACCCGUUUACAAGAAACCCCCUUAUGGUAAGUACCCACCAGUUCAAGACAACGAUCACUUCUAAACCAUGCAACAAGGCAUGUUAAUGUUAACUAUCUACUAAAAUAAAGAGGUUCAGUUAACCUACUACGUACGUUGCUCCUUUUAAUUCCUAAAUCGUAAUUUACAACUUUGUAGGGAUGAGACAUUCUUGGCUAGCUCUGCACUUCAAUCCUUUAUUUGUACAAUGCUAUGGCCAAGUCAAUACCAUGCAUCUUAUCUAUGUGUGUCAUUGAACGAAGUAGUUGCGUGAAAAUGAUGCUUGUACUAUGAAUAAAUAAUAAAAGAACUUUAUCAUUUCAAGAUUGUGCUGUUUAGUUUAUUUGCUGAACCACCGUUACUGACCAUAAAUAAUACACAUGCAGGUCUUGUUUAGGAUAAACUUAAUUAUCCGUAA